Molecule: long non-coding RNA, 68259 nt
Filed under: Ananas comosus (pineapple)
Lineage: Eukaryota; Viridiplantae; Streptophyta; Magnoliopsida; Poales; Bromeliaceae
Description: long non-coding RNA (ACOM_LNC020879)
Source: RNAcentral
AUUCAUCAAAAAUAUAUUCCGAACGCGUUUUAUUAUUUGUCAAAUUCUCAGCUAUAAAUCACAUACUGUGGAAUUAAAUAUCGAUUCGAUCUAUUUCGACCAAAUCGAAAGGUUCGAUUAAAGGGUUCGACUAUUUUCAAACACUAUUAAAAGUACAAUCAAAAGGAUAUUAAUCGGUAAUCCAACUAAUUUUCUUUCAUCUCUUCAUUGGAGAAGAAUUAAGAGAAUACAUUUUUUCUCUUUAUCUUCUUUAAAAAUAUAGUAUAACAGAGAUGAAUAAUUCCUUUUUAUCUCUUUUACAUUCGUGGGACAACUAAGGCGGGAUAAAUCCCUUCCUUGCCUCCCUAACAGUAACAAAGCUCCCUCUCUCUUUCAUAAUUAGCUCUUUUUCUCUUUUGAUAAUAUCUUUCUGCAAAAAAAAGAGCAUCGCUCUCUCUUUCUUUCGAUGAUGCUGUAUUUUAUAAAGAGAAGAGCACCGCUCUUUCUUUCUUUCUCUCUUUUGAUACUAUUUUUUUAUAAAGAGAAGAGCACCGCUCACUCUCUUUAUGUACAAAUCGGGUCCGACGUUAAAAGUACGUCUUAAGCAUUUUAUUAAAUAGUUGGCCGGCAUGAUUCGUUGGCGUGAACUCCGUCAGACCAAUAUCCUAGGCGGCUUUGUAGGCGACGAGGUUGAUACUGUUGCUGCCGAGUCUGCUGAAAUUGGUCUGUACAUUUGCGAGGGGCAAGCCGUCGACGUCCGGGAACUCGUCGAACGAGUCCUGGCAGGUGUCAACGAACGUGCCGACGGUCGAAAGCUUACUGUUGACGUCCACGAGCAGCCCGUCACCGCGCACCAAUCGUCGGCACAUUCUGCAGCGCGUCCGCCGCUUGCGCGUGCUUCGCCUUAAAGCGCCGCAGUCUGGACCGACGUUGCGGCUCGUUGUGGCCACAUAUCGAACACCUGGUGAGCGGUGACGAGUUGGUUCAGCGCAAGCUGGCACUCGGUCAUGCCGUUGUCGAUGAGCCUCUGAGGUUCGCGUAGGCGCUCAGCGGAGCUCGGAGGAGACGCGCGAGGGCGGUGUUGACGAACUUGGCGUCGCGGCCCGCCGAGUAGGUCGCAGGCGAAAGCGAUCUCGAACCCGGCGGUGACGGCGAAUCCGGCGAUGGCGCUGGCGAUGGGCUUGCGACACGCGGCCAUGGCGAUGACAGGAUCGGCGUUAGGGUUUUUUUGACGUCGCCUUUGAAGGUGUUCUCGUCGGCGGUGAGGUCGACGCCGGAGCAGCAGACGCGGCCGCGCUCGGCGAGGAUCACGGCGGAUCCAUAGGGUCGCUGCUCCACUUGAGCAUUUCAUCGAGCACCUUGUCGGAGGUCCCCGCGGCAAAGCGCGGGGAGAGAGCGCGGUUCGCGGCGUUGGAGUCGUCAAGGGCCUCGAGCUGCGCCUUGAUGGAGUGGGCGGUUUCAGCGGAUCGCGGCCAUCGCGGACGGCGCUGACGACGACGCACUCGGUGGCGGCGUAGUAAGCGACCUUCUCGAAGGUCGACACGGGGCGGUCGACGAGGACGAUGGGGUUGUAGCCGGGUCGGCCGAAGCGGGCGUUAAUGUAGCGGGUGAUGGAGCGGGCCUCGUCGGCCACCUCCUCGACGUCGCGGCCAUGACUAUACGCCGGGUUGGUGAUCUGGACGAGCAUGGCGCGGCCACGGAGCUCGGAGCACUCCUCGAGGAGCCACUCCAUGGCGAGGAAGCGAGCGGCCUCGGCAGCGGCGAAGAAGCGAGUGGUCUUGGCAGUGGCGAAGAAGCGAGCGGCCUCGGCAGCGCGGGGGUCGGCGAGGAGCGGGCGGCCUCGGGAACGCUCAGUCGAAGCGGCAGUCGCCUCCGAAGACCUCGGUGGUAGUGUAGUUGAUGCGGUUGUCGAGCUCGAGGAGGAGGUCGAGGUUCUGGAGCCCCACGUCGGCGUCGUCGUCGUCAGAGGCUCUCGUGGGUUUUGGCCAUGGUGGAUGCUUAUUUCAGAGAGAGAGAGAGAAAGAGAAAGAGAUUUUUUUUUGUUUUUUUUUUUUUUAAGCCGAGAGAGAGCUUUGUUUUCUCUUUUUUUUUUUUUAGCGAGAGAGAUAGAGAGAGCUUUUAUUAUUUUUUUUUUGAACGGGAGAAAGAGAUAAUAUAUAUAUUUUUUUACCUCUUUUUUUUUUUGCGAUCGAUGGAAUGGGGUGGAUAUUUUUUUUUUGAUUAGAUUUCGAAGAUUCAAAAAGCUCUCCUCUUUGAAUUUUUUCGAGAGGUAUUUAUGGGGUGGUUGCAACGGAUUUGAGGGAAACGUGGCAUAUGAUUGAGGAUUGAGGUGGUUGUAACAGGAUUUGAAGAAAACGUGCGUAUGGGUGCGGAGUUAUGGGAUCGUGGAUGGUUGAGGAUCGGUGGAUGAUGGGAUCGUGGGUAUAGGUUGUUACGAUAGUAUUAUGAAUUGUGGGAGAGAUUUUGGAUGGUUAGAUGGGAUUAUGAGAUAAUGGAUGGUUGCGAUGGGAUUGUGGGAAUAUUGCGAAUUGGUCCUUUCCUUUGCUCAUAUUACACUUAGUCAAUAUAUAAAAUAUUAUAUGAUUAAAGCGGGCAUUUUGUAAUACGUGAAAGGGAAAGGGCUAAUAUGCUAUUUUUAUACCCGUUCGUAUCUACAAGAACGUCCCACUUUUCGUAAUUUAUGCUCCGUGCAUGAGAAUAUUUUCAAAAUUUAAAUUUAUCCAUGCACCUGGUGCAUCGAUAAUCUCAUAAACCAUCUCUAUAUUUUUAUUUCUUUCUCUCCCUUUUUUUUUUUUUCUUUUUCCUCUUUUAUUCCUCUCUCUUUUUUUUAUGCUUCAAACAGCUCGAUUGAUUGGUCAGAUUUGACAUUUCCUACAGUUGGUUAGUGUAGAGUAUGAUAUGUGUAGUGAUCGAUAGCGGUAGAGUGUACUUCCUACUUUUCCUACUAUUGCUUGCUCCCUUCUGUAGACUUAGUGGGUGACCGAUGUUGUUUUGGGCGGUACCCACUGAGGACUACUUGUUUUUACAGUAGUUCUUACGCCCAGUUGUUACUCUUGUUUUGCAGAGCCACAGGUUUCGGCUGCUGCGCCUUCCGCGGAUCAAGAUCGAGACAAGGGCGUCGCGAGCUAGAACCCUACUCGACUGACAGAGCUAGAGGCACCCCUACUGCAGGUAGAUGUUUUGUCUGAGUUUAUGUACAUAGCUUACUUAACUCGCCAGUGCGGGUAACUCUGUAUUUUGGACUUGGACUAUGUAUAUGAAACUCAGUUGUUUAGCUUCUGUUUAUUGAGCAGCUCUAUACUACUGUUUGUAGUAUUGUAUAGCUACAGGUACUUUUGACGCUUCGUAUACAGGGAAAAGUCCUUUGUAUACGGCGGAUUUGUCGGCGUGCCCGGAGAACGAGACAUUCGGGGAGUGACAAUAUUUGUGUCAUGUGAUUUGAUCCGCAGCACUAAAAUACAGAAUAUUUUAUCCCAUUCUUUAAUUACUUGUAAAAACUUACAGAUAAGCAUUCUGCUCGUAGCUUGAUGUUAAAUUUUUUGACUAAGUUUUCGAAUGCUGCUUUUAUUUGAUUGUUGAUUUAUUCUAAUUAAAAUAACUGAUCUGAGUGAUUUUGAUUGAUUUUAUAAUUUAUACAUUAUAUAUGACUUUGUAAAAAAUCUUUAUAAAAAACCCGAAGUAUUCCCCUUUCUGAUAAAAAGGCCCAGCAUAGAUGCAAUGAGCAUUUUCCAGUCCAAUUUAGUAAACCUAGCACAGUCCAAAUACCGGAAAUGACUGUCCAACAAAAUACAGGUCCGGAGGUACAUAAUUUUAUAAAAUUUUAUAUUAUUUUUAUUUUAUAUUUAUAUAAAAAAGAUUUAAGUUCAAUAGUAAAAUAAAAAGUCGGUUACACGGAACCGUGGCUCUCCUCAGACAAUUAAGGGUCCCUUUGGCAUAGAUUUUACAAAAGUAAUUUCUGCAAAAUUAAUUUUAGUUUUAAAAAAUAAUUUUGGUUAAAAAUUGUAGCGCGUUUGAACUAGUUUAGAUAAAAAUAAUUUUUCUGAAAUGAUAUUGUAAAACUGUUUGACAAAAUUUUUUUGAUGUUUGCAUAUAUAUUUUUACUAAGUAUUAUUUUAAAAUAAUUUAAAAUGUAAAUUAAAAUUUAAAAUUUGUACAAAAUUUAAAAUUUGAGAUUUUAAUUUAAAAAUAAAUUUUAAAAUUAAAUUAAAAAUGAAAAUAAAAAUUGAAAAUUGAAAUUUUAAUUUUAAAGCUACAUAUAAAUUUUAAUUUGAAAUUGAAAUUUGAAAUUUGAAAUUCGAAAUUUGAAUUUGAAAUUUAAAAUUUAAAAUUUGAAUAAUGAAAUUUGAAAUACAAAUUUAAAAUUUAAAAUUAGAAAUGUGAAUUAAUUUGAAGUUUAAAAUUUUCAAAUUUAAAAUUUAAAUAUUUAAAAUUUUAAAAAUAAAUUAAAAAUUAAAAUUUGAAUAUUGAAAUUUAAAAAUUCAGAAUAAAUUCAAAAAUUGAAAUUAUAAAAUUUAAUUUAAAUGUAAACUUUGAAUCAAAAAUUAAAAUAAAAUUUGAAGUUUAAUAAUUCCAAAAUCAGAAUCAGAUUCAAGACACAUGUUUUAGCUGCUUUUAAUUUUGGACCUCGAAAAUUAGAAAAUUGAUUCUAAAACUCAAAUCGGAUAUUUGAAAACGAGAUUGCCAAACGUUUUAUUGAGUCAAAAUCACUUUUGAGUCGAAAAUCACUUUUGAGAAUAUGCAGGGUUACGAUCUUUUUUGGAUCAUCGUCACGCGAAUGCUUCAAUUGACACUAUCAACAAUUCAACACUGCGCUACUAAUGCUCCAAUGAGGCCACCAGAUGUACACAUCACUCAACGCAAGAUUUUGAAUCCGUGGAGAUGUUCAAAGCACGGAAGAAUAAGAGAAAAUGUUAAAUUUUUCUAUAUCUUGUCAUCUUUUUGUAUUUCAUUUUUUCUUGUAGUUAGAAAAUAUUUUAUGUAGUGUGUAUACUUGAGUACUUUUAUAACUAUUUUGAUAAUUUUUUAGAUUCUGCAGUUACUCAAAAAAGAGAAAGGGCGAGGUAAAAAUAAAUGUAGAAAGUUGCAAAGUUAAAAAGUGGUGAGAAGUUGGAAGUAACUUUCUACAACAAUCGUGCUACUGGAACGAAUCAUAAGACAUUUUCAAGACACUUAGGCAUGAUUGUGCGUGAUCGCAAUAUUUGCCCACUACGUAUUCAUUCAUGGAAAGAAAUUGGAGAAUCAGAGAAGAACCACAUGUGGGCAGCAGUCUGGUAAAAUAUUAUACCUUGACUCUUUAUGUUUACUACUUAAAUUUAUUAUUAUUAUUUUCUAAUAUUAUAUCAAUUAUAUAUAAAUUUAUGGACAAUGAUUUUUCUUCGUAGGACAAGUUUCAGAAUAAGGAUAUGGAGACUUAUCAAGAUGUAACUUUAGAACAUAUGAAUGAACUAUGGAACAAAUGGAGAGGAGACUUGUAUCGUAAAUUUAUAAAGCGUGCGAGAAUAUGCAGGAGCCUAAAGAUUGUUCCAGAAGGUGUACACCGAGAGGAUUGGGAGUGGCUUGUUAAAGAGCAUUUUUUUAGUGAAAAAUUUCUAGUAUGUUGUUUUGUUUCGUAAGAGCUAUUAGUUCCAUUUUUAGUAUGUUGUCUUUUUCACAAUAUUGGUUUUACACUUUAUAAUAUUUUUUAAAAUUUAGCAAUUGUGUUCUUGUACGCCCGGGUCCUUUGAGUUUAAAAGAUAGAGAAAAGCGUCAAAUUUUUUUUUUUUUUUUUUUGAAAACCUGACCCAGAGUAUGCCAGACCCCACAAUACAGGGAUUCCACUAUUUACACACGGACAGAGUCUUCUCCUAUUUUGCACGGCGUCGCACAGUACAACAGUACAAACAGGAUACAACCACAACUAAAUGAAUAUAGAAAUCACAUACAUUCAUACAUUCACCAUUCACAUCACAGAUAUUGCAUCAAUUCUAAACAUAAAUCCAUAGAAAUCUUUGAAAAUUGUUCCCUACACAGGAACCUUUAUUCUUUAAACGCUACCACGAGGGGUAGAAAACCUUUUAUUUUACAAAAUCCAGAAAUUCACAUUUUCAAAUGUAAAUAAAUACUGAACCACAUAAACCAACUAAACUAUACAUCGACCGAAAUAAGAAGGGUAAGAAACUAAACCGAACAACCUGGUCGGAAGCUCUAUCGACCACUACGAACGUACCUCACGUCUCGUCCCAUACACAUCGCCUGAUACACUGAAAAUAGUGGGAAGGUGAGAACAUGUAAACAUGUCUCCCUUCCAGGAGUGGUACCGCAAGCGCAAGAAGGCGAGGAGUACUCCACUAGUCCGGAGAACUAGAUAGAUAUAAGUGCUAGUAAGUAAGAUGCUGAUAAGUAGGGAGCUGACAAGUAUAGAUGCAGGUAAAUAAAACAGUAGACUACAUAAACAGUAAGGAUGUACUGGAAAUAAACACUACAGCUACUGUAUGCAUGUGUCGACUGCGAUAACCUCAAAAGUACCCAUCUCGCUGCUUAUGUUGGUCCGAAGACCUCAGGCCAAUGCCACACUGGCUCAACCUGUACCUGACCCUUGCAAUGAAGCCCUGGGUCAGAAGCAUAGUACCUGACCUCGCCAAUGAAGCCCUGGGUCAGAAGCAUAUACCCUCGCAAUAAAGCUCCUGGGCUCACGGUUGGCAAUCCAAACCACUUUUCCGGAAAAGAACACCCUCUUGCGGUGGAUCAGACGCUGGGUGUUCGUGAAAUGCGAUACCUGAGUGGCGAUCAAUGCAUAUGCUCAAGAAUCUUCCAUCAGCAACUAGCCGACAAUCCAGCCCCUCAGGGCACACCGACCGUAUAGGCCAUCAGCAACUAGUCAGCUACGUAUGUCAAGAUAGAACUGUAGCAACUCGACCGAUAGGUCAUAGAUAUCAAAAUAGGGGAACCGCCAACCAAAUCACAGAAUAUAGUGAACAGAUAAGUCGACUCUUACUUCUAAGCAUGAUAUUCAACAUGGAACCAUCGACCGCAUGGGUCAUCAUGUAACCAAUCGACCAACCGAGGUCACAAGUAUAGCGCUAUGAAACUCGACCAAUAGUCACAGUAUAGUAUAUGAACUCGACCAAUCAUGUUACAAGUAUAGGAUAUGAACUCGACCAAUCAUAUCACAAGUAUAUAAUCUAGAACUACCGUCGGCCACUAGCCGACAAUCGACCCUCAGGGUACACCGACCUCAACGGUCAUUCGGACAACAGAAGUAAAGGACCGACCAACCAGGUUACUGAUACGAGGUACAAGAAACCACUAACAGGUCACAAGUGUAGGAGAUGCAACGUCGACCAACUAGGUCAUGGGGAGAUUCACAUAGGAAUCAGACCAAUAUAUAAAUAUCAUAUACAGAUAAAGUCUACUCUACUCCUACACUGAUACUACACCUGGCAACAAUAAGUAGAGUAAUAAGGAAACGUCGCAUGGGUGCAAAGGCUCAACAUAUAUAUGGUAAAAGAUAUAAACAACAAGGGUAAAGAACGUCACGAGCGUGCACCAUGUACAACGUCGGAUCGAAGUACCCACCUGUACAACUGUCGCGCCUGGUCUCCUGACUGCAAAGAACGUCAACAGGACCUAAGGGAGGUCCACUGGUUAGUGUCUUAUACAACUAAGAAACCCUAAAGCAUAACCCACAAAAUAAACACGAGAAUCGAUUUCCCAAAACGAUUACCGAACAAACCGGAAGUCCCGAAAACCGCACCGGAACUUCACGUCGCCUUACCGUCGUUUCAAACCACGAAACAUGUGGGUGACCAGCCAACAAGGCUCAGCGAUGAAACAAUGAUCCCCAAGUACCGUCGGAAGAAUUCCAAAUCGAAAACGCGUUCUAUCGGCGGAUUUCGCCGAAAAACGCCCCGGAAAUGCAUUUUCGGUCUUCGCAAAGGUCCGGGGCCUUGGACAAUCAGUCCGGAGGUUAUCCUCAGCUACUUGCUGCAAAGCAGCCACGACGGACAAAGUUGCAUUAAAAGCCCUUCCGAAUACCCGAAAUCGCAUUAUUUCUCAUGCGAUUUCGGGCCUUUUAUGGUCCGUUUACGCAAACCAGAGGUCAAUCAGCCGAGUCAAUAAUCCACUGACAGGUUUCGAUGUGCCGGAGGCCCGUGCUCACCUUUCGGCAGCAAUAUUGGCCAUAGCGGAGAGCGCGGGAGUGCGCGAAAAUUCUGCGAACAGCGCGCGCAUAGCAUGAAAAACAUGUUUAUCUCGCUAACCAGGGCUCGCUGACCUAAUUGAGGUGACGACUGUGAUCAGGACUGACAGACUAUCACCGUGCUCACCCCCGGAGGCAUCGGAACAGCCUCGGGUCGCCGGAACAGUGAACAGAACUGGAGACUAUGCACAAAAGGCUGAAAUCAAGCUUACAAAGCUAGGCAGGGCUCGGGGUUGGCCGGCGGCGGCCGGACGGCGCAGGCGGCAGGGGAAGUGCUCCAGGUCAGAGGAGCGGGGCUCGCGUUAACAGGCGACGCGGAGCGGCGACGACGGCGGGCAUUGAUGCCUAGUUGUACAACCGAGGAGAGCAUGGCUCACCCGGUGAACAGGAGCUCCGCGGUGGGGGCGCCGGCGUGGAUGAGUGCGGCCGGCCAGCGGAGCCGGUGCUCACGCUGGACGGCGGCGGAAGACGGCGCGGCGGUGCUGGACCAACGAGCCCGCGCGGGUUCAUUGCGGGCUCCAGAGGUGGCGGUGCCCAUGGCGGCGGCGAGAAAGGUCGGGCUUCGGCGGCACCUCGCGGAGGUGGAGGAAGGGCAAAUCGGCGGCGGGAACGGACGCGCGCGCGGAGGCAGAAGCUGCCCAGCUCGGCCGCACUCGUCUGGGCGGCCGCAGAGAGGGGAGGCGGCGGCCGGGCGGCGAGGGCGGCCGGCGAUGGCGCGCGCGGGGGCAGGCAGAGGCCAUACGAGGCCGCGGGACGAGGGUGGGCUGUGGCGCGCGGGCCACAACUAGGGCUGCGCUCGGUCUCGGUCGGUCUGGCUGGCGCGGCAGAGCGAGGAGGGUGCGGGCGGCGCGGUGUACGACGGAGGCCGGCGGGAAUCGCGCGGAGGUAGCCUUCUGCCACAGGUGAAGGAUCUCGGGGUUCGCGCACUUCCCUGCGUACUCAGGCGAGAGGGUAGUGGAUCGGUUUAAGAGAAAGAUGGAGAGGUGGGCGGGUGGCUUUUUCCGGCGACGGGCUGCUCGCCGGCGGCGAGGCGUGCGGCGGGGUCGCGGGGAGGGGUGCAGGUGACGGCUGGGGCGCAGUUGGAGGAAGAGGGAGGCAACGUUAGGGUUUCCUCAUGAAACCCUAGUGCAACACUAUACACAUAGAUGCAUUUUGCAAUAGCUCUCCAGGGGUAAUAUUCUCAGUCAAGUCCUCACAGCGAGCGUAUUUUACAAUAUGCAUCUCCAUGUCCGAUCUCACGCAAUUCGGCACAUAAAUAUAGGGUCUCUUCGCGAUUUAUCCGUUUGCCACUUUGACCCUCAGCGAACAUCUCGCUUUUUUCGAAGAUCCGUCCGUUGGAUUCGAUCCGACAGUGCCAUCGAUUCAGCAUGACGAGGGUAAUAAAACUACAAUCUUGUUUCGUCAGAUUUGGUCACAGAUUCGCGACGGAACCCAUCCGCUCUCUAAUUAAUCCGUAUAACGCACAUAUACCAAAGUAUAAACCCUAAAUCUUAAUUCAAAUUCAAAUUUGAAUUCCUACCACCAGUAGUACCAGAAACAACUCUCACCUACCCCAGGUCACAAGCACAGAGCACGAGGAGUUUUAAAAUGCACGAAUGAGCAAAGAGCGGAAACCCUCUUUUUCUUAAAAACUCCUUUUUCUCAAAAACCGUGCAUCGGAUCUGAAAUUCGUGUGCCAUCGGUUCCAGAAUAGCUGACCGUUCGAAACGAGCUAUUGGAUCGCUGCAUGACAGAGUCUGAUACGCGCCAGAAGCCUAUUUAACGCAUUGGCCUCUUCGAAAAACCGGAGUUACUAUUCACUUAGUGAAUUUAAAAUCGCGUAACUUUCCAUUUUAGCUCAUUUUUCUCCUGAAACUUGCGAGUGCUUAUGUAAUUAAAUUACACACAUAAACAUUGUCAGCAGAGAGUUUAGUUGCACUGUAAAAAUCUCGUCCUUACAGUUCUAUUUGAUAAAUGCGCAGGCGGCCAAGUAGAGAAAACUAUGAAAAAUAGAGCCAAACUAUCAAUGCCCAUCGUAUGUUAGUAAGCCAUUCCACAAAUUAUUUAUUAAAAGGUAAUGUAAAUUGACAUAAUAAGCUUUUUAGAUUUUGUUGUAAUCAUUAAUUGAUAUGAACCAAUGUUUUGUGUAGGAGGCAAAGAUAGUAAUCCACAAGCUUAGCGACAAUUUUCUUUGAGACUCGAAAAAGAUGGACAACUUGAAGGAGUAAUGCAAACAAGAAAUAUGUUAAGUCUUUGCACUUACUUUUGUUAUAAUUGAUUCUAUUUGUGCAUUCUUUAUUAACUAAUUUUGUAUAUUAAAUUUUAUUUGAAGAAUAAAAUUCUUGAAGCCUCACAAUCACAACGGAACUAUCCAAUAUAGAGCUCAUUGAAAAUGCUUGGAACUCAAUGUCAUCAACAUGUUGUUUGCUAUGGGGGUGGUGUGAAGUCGACUGAUUUGAAACCUUCUUACUCUUUUAGAGCUGAACUUAAUGCCAACUCUGUGAAACUCAGAAGGAAAAUCAAUCACUUAGGAGUCGUAUGGAUGGAAUGGAGGCGGAACUACAAAAAUUAAGGAAAUGCUCCAGCAACAUCAUAAUAUUUUCUCCCCUUCUCCAUCUGAAGGUUUGUUUUAAUGUUUCUCUAGACUUUAAUAAACUUUGAUAGUCUUUAUAAUAUGCAUUCUUCACAUAAUAUCUUUUAUAUACUUCAUUUCAUAGACUUAGUUAAAGUUCCUCUUGUCUUUCACGAUAAUCAUAGUUAUAAGAUUUUAAUUGGAUAUUCAUAUUAUGAUUAUUCUCGUUGCAUCAGUCAAUACAUACCUUAUCUUAUUGUAAGUAAUUGAUGGUGAUAAGUUGAAGAAUUGAAAAUCUGAUCCAACGUUGAUUAGGCGUGCUGUCAAGUUUAUCAUUUUGGGUCUUCGUUUGAAAAACAAAACUCUCACAAUUUAUUCUAUUGAUUUUUCAUUUUUAAACUUUUAUGGUUUAGAAGUUGCUUAGUUUGUUGGUAUGAUUAGACUUGCAAUGGAUGGAUACAAUUCCAUACUUGUUAGUUUUAUUUUUUGAAAAUAUGGAUGAUGAAUAUUGAGUUCUUAAUUUAUCUCUAAUUAGUUUGGAAUUGUGCUAUUUCAUAUUUUUCACCCUCCGCAAGAUGAGCUUAAUAUAUUGCUCUUCUCUCUCCUUUAUGUGUGUGUUAUAUAUAUAUAUAUAUAAUAUAUAUAUAUAUAGCGACGGAUUGUUGUCGUUGUUGAAUCAUAAACUGUAAAUUCUAAAUAUUUUAUCGACGACAAUUUUCGCUCGUUAAAUGUUUAGUUUAUUAGCUGAAAAAAUAUUUUUUAGCGACAGUAUACGCCGUCGUUAUUUUAGUUUUAUCCGUCACUAACAUAAGAUUUUGCAUAUUUUUAUAUAAAAAACGACAAAUAAAUGUCGUUAUUACUAAUAAUAUUGGUCGUUAUUAUAUACAUUUACGACGGGAUUGUUCUCGUUAAAUACUUUUAGUGACGGAAAUUAAGCCUCGUAAUAGUUUUAGCGAAGGAAGAUUUAACGACGGAUGGCGACGGAAAUUUGUACGGUCAUUAAAAGUUAUUAGCGACAAAUAUACUAGUUAUAACGAUCAUUAUUCUCUUCGUUAAUAUCAUAUUUUCUUGUACUGAUUAUUUUUUAAAACCAGACUAAACGCCCUCCUGAUCAUAGUUAGUUAAUUCGCGAAUAAUUCGCGAAUUAUUCGCGAAUUUUUGAAGAAACGAAUUUAACAGCCGUUACGUAUUAUUCCAAAAAUUCGCCAAAAAUCGCGUUUUUCGUCAAAAGUACUUGUUCGCGAAUAAUUCACGAUUCGCGAAUUAUUCGUCGAAAAAAUCGGCCCUGUGGGCUUGCAGGUAGCGGGCUCGCGGACGGGUCGCGGACUCGUGCCGGGUCGCGGCGCUAAUGGGCUGGCCCAAAACAGAAAAACAAAAAAAAAAAAGAGAAAGAAGAGCGAAAAAGGGUUUUGCAAUUUGCCCUAACACUUCACCCGCUGGCCCUGCUGCCGACCCCAGCCCAUCCCUUCCCUCCUCCUUCCUUCCUUCCCUCUUCCCUUGAGCCAUCGGAAGCCCCCGCGUUGCCACAUCGAAGAUCGGGUUCUUCAUUCUUCAGAAUCAGAACCUCCUCGUCGCCUCUUCCUCUUCGCUUCCGCCUCGCUCUCCAACAUCGCAUCAGAUAAUUAGGUUGUUCUUUACAAGAAUUUUUAUGCUUUAGUUUCUCUCUCUCUUUCUUUCCUUUAUUUCAUCUUCUCUUAAUUACUAACUGUAUGGUUUUGAUCAGUAACAAGACCAUGACUACAACAUGUAGCAUCAUUGUAAACAUGCAUUUGUUAAGAUUCAUUACUUCCUUUUUAUCUUUAAUCUCUACAGUAUACAUGAAUAUGCCCAGCAUACAAGAAUAAUCAGCAAAUAAGGUUUUAAGAAUUAAGUCCUCAAAAGGUUUGAUAUGCUCAGCAGGUUUGAAAGUCACAAGCAUAUGCAUUGAUUAAAAACCAAGGGAGAUCUAGCAAACUUAACAAAGGUACAUGGGUGUUAAUUGGCAAUACUGGGAAUUUCCGAUAAAUUUGGAGAAAUAGCAAUAUGGAGAUACAGAUUUGAGUUUGCUAUUUGCUUAAUUAUAUAUUUAUUUUGGAACAUAAUACAGUUUGCUAAUUUUUUACUUAAUUAACUUAAUUUUAUAGCUCUUUAUUCUUAUAUUUUUAAGAAUUAUGAGUAUUUAUACUAAUUGCAUAAAACUUGAGAGAAAAAAAAAAACUUAAUUUAAUAGCCGAAUUUUUUAUCCCGAAUUUUUAAUUAGUGAACGUAUAAUAUCCGUAUAAAUCACGUAUCCGAAUAAUUGGCGAAUCCGUUUUUUUAACCGUAUUUUUCAACGAAUUUAAAAAUUAAUAGACGAAUUAUAUCCGAAUUAUAUCCGUACCGAAUUUUUGCCGAAUCCGAAUUAACUAACUAUGCUCCUGAUAAUGGCCAUAGGAAUGCAAUACUAUUCAACUUCAUUUAGUGCUAUUCAACUUCAUUUACCUAGUCCAUCCCAGACCAGUCGGUAGCAUAGUUGAUUUGGUCCCCGAAUACCCAAUAACUAUCUUCUCGAUGCAAUUAAUCAAAUAUAUAAAUAGACCCAUAAGAUCUAGCAAUAUCACUCAACUUUAUUAAGAUAGAAUUAUAUGUUUCCUCUUAUUUGUUUCUUCCGGUAUUCUCCAUUCCCUCCCGUUAAUUCUUUUAUUAUACUUUGUUAUAGCUGUUGCAGCUAAUCAUGACCUUCCUUACCAAUAUGACACAGCACACAGCAGCCACCGUUUUCACAGUUGGUAAGGAACUACCCACUUUUUUUCUCUUUUCUCUUUUUAACUUUUUGUUUUUCUCUUUUUGGCUUAAUCUUUGUGGUUUAACUCCCUUCCUUAAAUUUAUUGUCCAUAAAUUAUUGCUAAAUUUUUAAAAUAUAUUAUCAAGUACCAAUAGCUAUUGUUUGCUAUAUUUGAUCAUGGGAAAACCAAUAAGAGAAAGAACAGUUGCAAGUUAGUUAAAAGGAGGUCUGAAUAUCAAUAAAUUAAUUAAUUACCAUAUAUAACGUAGAGCAUGUAUUUGAAAUUAAUAUUUUUAGAAAUUUUUAAUAUUUUAAUAAGGAUAUAAAAUUAUAUAUGGAAGAAGACUAAGCCAUGAAAGAACAAGGGUUGAGGAGUUUUCUGCAGGUUUUUAGUACUGAGAGAGAAUAAAAUGCAAAAAGUAAUCUAUACAAAAGGUUUUCCUGCAAUUUACCUGCUUUUUUUUUUUUUUUUUCCUUUCAAAGAAACUAAUGAAUUAUAUACAUGGCCAGCUCUUUGGUAUUUCAACGCGCACUUAUAUAAUAUAUAUUAAUUCUUCUCUCUUUGUCAAAAUUCUCAUAUCCUACAAACCGUUGCUAUAAAUUCUGCAGUGUUCUUGGUAAUAUUCGGGACUACGAUACUUUCAGUAGCUAUUCGCUUAAUAAUUUAUGCCAAAAAAGUAUACUUGAGAAGAAAUGAGCAUACCACGAUCACCACAAAUCCAUCAACACCAACUAACAGAGCGGUUGCAAACGAGACUCUCGACACAAACUCCGUAGAGAAACUCCUCGAAGAGGUCGCUCCACUGCAGUUCUCGCCAGAGCAACUCACCGGAUUCACCACCAACUACGUGACCAAGCUGGGGUCUGGAGGGUUUGGUGCAGUCUACAAGGGUUGGCUCCCAAACAAAGUAAAGAUUGCGGUAAAGGUCCUAAGGGGAGAUAAUUUGGAUGAGAGAAUCAAGGAGCAGUUCAUGGCGGAGGUGGGAACGAUCGGGAGAACGCACCACAUCAAUCUCGUCAGGCUCUACGGCUUCUGCUUCGAACAGGAACUUAAGGCACUGGUGUUCGAAUAUAUGAAGAAUGGCUCGCUCGACCGUUAUUUGUUUGAUCACGAAAAACACCGCACGAACGUUGCAGCAUUGCAUGAGAUUGCAGUCGGUACGGCGAAAGGCAUCAAAUACUUACACGAGGAGUGCGAAAAUAGGAUAAUCCACUACGAUAUAAAGCCUGAAAAUAUCCUUCUUGAUGCGAAUUUUACUCCUAAGGUAGCCGACUUCGGCCUAGCGAGGCUUCUAAGUAGGGCGAACACUCAUAUCACCAUGACAGGGAUGAGAGGGACGCCGGGGUACGCCGCACCAGAGAUGUGGGUGCCCGGCGCUCCUAUCACGUACAAGUGUGACGUCUACAGUUUCGGCAUCAUGUUGUUCGAGAUAGUCAGAAGGCGGAGGAAUUUCGACGAGCGCGCUACCGAGAGCCAACAGUGGUUUCCGACAGAGGCGCUCAAGAGAUUCGUGGAGGGCCGGUUGGGGGAGGUGAUGGCGUCGCUGCACGGGGUUCAAGAAUGGGAGAGUAUGGAGAAGGCUGAGAGGAUGUGUAAGGUGGGGCUCCUGUGUGUGCAGUACCGCCCGCAGGCGAGGCCGGAGAUGAGUAUGGUGGUGAAGAUGUUGGAAGGGGAGAUGGAGGUUACGGCCCCUCCGACAAACGCAUUUCAGCACUUCAUGGGUGUAGAAAUAGAGGGAAGAAGUAGCAGCACGAAUCCGGUGACUUCUGGCUCCUCCACGAGAUAAAUGGCAGUACAGUCUUGAAAUCAUUGUAAAGUUUUGUUUACGUAACACUUUUACAAUUUUUUAUUUUUUUUAUUUUUUUGAAAAGUUCGUCAUAAUAUGAUUUUCUGCUUUCAGAACAAUGGCAUCGUUUGGUUGCUUGAAAAUAGUUAAAGUAAAAAAGUCACUUUUAUUACGAAAGAUAUUUAUACAAAAAUAAAUUUUGAAUUCGAUUGUUUUGUUGGCCGUAAAUUGAAAUACAGAAAAUACAACAAAAAUUAAUAAAUUUUAGUUAUACUUUUUAGUAGCAUUUAUGAAAAUUCGCUGGCAUUUUUUGUUAAGUGUCUAUAUUUGUAGCAUUUUUUUAUAAAAAGCUACUGAGUUUUGGUUAAAAAAAAAAAAAAAAAAAAACUAUCUCAUUCCCUUGUAUUUUUCCCUCAAUUGCUUCUAUAGCCAUCAAAAGACUAUUCUACCCUUAUUUCAAAUUGGAAGUAUAAUUUGACACAAUGGGUCUUUUGGUCCUUUCAAAAAUAAAAGAAAACCUGACAUCUGAAGAAUGCCCUCAUCAGAGUUCUCGUUGAGAUCGCCAGCGGUGAGCGCUCCACUUCAACGGUGGGCAGUGGGCUCUUCUCAUUUCAGAUCGUGGAUUUCAACAAAGACCUCAGUGAUUUCAAGUUGUGAUCGUUAAUUCCUUUUGCAAAGGUAUUAUUCAUGGUUUUUUUGUUUUGUGUGUGUGUGCGCGCGCGCGCGCGCGUUUGUUAUGAGAGUUUGGAAGUUAGUGUUCAAAUAUUAGAAUGUUAGUUUUCUACAAAAAUUUCUACUUGGUUUUAUACUUAAGAGAGACUUUAUGGUCACUUAGUUUUAAUUCAGAGCUCUAGGGUUUUUGUCCCCUUUUUUAUUCCUCUAUCAAGUUUUAUUUAAUUCCUCCAUUGUGUGAUUUUAUAAUUUUUUUUUUUAUGGAUAAUAUCUAAUAUAUCUUUCAAAAUUUUAAAAAGAUCUAAUAUGUCCUUGGCGGACCAAAUUAUUGAUUUUCAAAAAUUUCAUCAAAUAUGUACUCAUGAUCCUACAGUUUACUAACGAGAUUUGGAGUUUAGAAGGGUAUUUUGGGAAUAGAAAGGUAUAUUUAAAAUUUUUGGAUAGUAGUGAAAGGUAUAUAUAAGCAAAAGCUCUAAUUUUUUUACGUCUAUUCUCUGCAAUGGCAUGGUUAAGAGUGCAGUGAUUAGUUAAUUGAGAUUUUGAUUGUUUUGGAGUACUUUAUGGUUGCUUUUUAGAUAGGGAUAUGUUACAGUGAGUUCAUGUCUAAAAUACUUUCUAGGAAGAUUAUUAAUUAUUGAGUAAUGCUUCUAUACUUUUUUUUUUUUGGUUAUCGUUCAUUCACGCGUAUUCAACAGCUCAGAUUUAGUUUUUUUAAAAUUGUGACCUGCAAUAGUAGGUCACUUUGGGAGAGGUACCGGUUACCAGGUACCUCAAAAAAUGAUAUUUUUGUCUUUUAAUAUAUGAGCAAUAUAGUCAUUUUACAUCUACUAUAUUUUCAAAAUUUUUAUUUUUUCUUUGUUUCCUUUUUCUCUCUCUAUCUUUUUUUUCAUAAUUUGGCAUUUCAUAUAAGAAAAUUUUCAAAUGAUUUGGCAAUAUGAUCAUUGAAUUUAAACUUUAAAUAGUAAUGUGAAAUUCCUCUAAUUUGAAUUUCACUUUUAAAUUUAAAAUUUAAUAUUAUAUUCAAAUUUAUAUUUUAAAAAUUUAAGUUUCAUAUAAAUACUUUGAAAUAUGGUAAACAGAAAUAAUUGUUUGAAUUCUAGUCUUCUGGUUUAGGUUUGGUUUUGGGUUUCGAAAAAUUGGUCAGUUUUGAAUUUGGAUAUGGAUUUUUGAAAUCCGUCGAGUUCGGAAAUAAGUUUUGUGAUUGUUAGUCAGAUUCGAAUUCAAAUUCCUAACUAUUUUUUUUCUCACCAAUAAUUCUAAUCUUUUUAAUUUAUAUGUUUAAAAUUAUAUUUAAAAUAUUUAUUAGCUCUAACAGUUAAAUUAUCAUUCUGUUUAAAAUAUUUAUUAUCUUUACCGGUUCCAAAUUGUUCUUAAUGUUAUUCGGUUCAAUAGGUUAAAAUCAGAUUCUUGAUAGAAUAGGUCAAAGUCUGAUCAGUCAAAUCAAUCGGUUCAAUCUAGUUUUUAAAUCAUUGAAUUUAAAAUUUAAAUAGUAAUAUGAAAUUCCUCUAGAGAAAUCUAGUUGUAGAAAUCUUACUCUCUAAGUUUUUUAUGCAUUACGUUUUAAACUGGUGCGAAUAAACUGUAUUUUAAAUCUUGGUAGAAAUUUAGUUUUUAAAUAGUAAUAUGAAAUUCCUCUAAUUUAAAUUUCACUUUUAAAUUUUAAAUAUUUAAUUUUUAAAAUUUAAAUUCAUCGUAUUUAGAAAUAAAACUAUUUCUAAAAUUUCUAUAAUUUAAAUUAAUGCAUAAUUUGAGAAACACUAAAACAUUUAAAGUAGAUUCCUAAAUUAAUGCCUAAUAAUUGCAUAAAUUUGGUUAAUCAAUUAAUUUUCUAAAUUAGUGCUAAUUAAUGCAUAAAUUUAGGACCUCAAUUAAAAGUUUCUUUAAAUAUUGUAUUAUUUAAUUACCAAACUAACCUUGAAUAAAAUAAUUUUUUUACCUGCUAAGUAUUAAAGUUACAUUUUUACCCUCUGUUAAUCAACGGUUAAAAUCUUUUUUAUUUUUUUUUUAAAAAAGUACCGAAUCAUUUCUCUUAAUUAUUAAGGUUAAAUCAUAGUUCAUUAAGGUCAUCUUAUUUUUUCCUUCUUUUAUUGACUUUAAAGAAUUUAUUUUUAUUUACUUGUGGUAAGCUACUCCAAUAGCAUAUUAAAAGACAUCAUAACAUAGAAGGCAUAGUAUAUUCGAGAUAGAAUAAGAAUUUCACAAGAUUCUAAAGAACUAUUAGUGGUAGAAGAUUUGUUCAAUUUUUUUAAAAUAUAAAAAAGGUGUUAGAGGUGGUCCCUGAGUAUUAUGUUAUUGCAAACUUACCUACAGAGAGGAUUCCAAAAUGAGGCCUUGAACAUUUUGUUUUUCGAUUGUCACUUAGUCAAUUUUCAUUUGUUUCGUUUGAAUUACUACAGGUGAUGGUUUCUUAGGCUAUAAUUCAUUUAUUAUUCCGACUUGUUUGUUAAACAGUUAUUAAAAAAAUUAAAUUUGGUGAAUCAUAGAAUAAUUGUUGAAGCUUCUAACUUAUUUGGCAAAAAUAAUUCCAGUUUAAAAAUUAAACUUUAGGGAAUGCCAUUGAAUGAAACACAGAGAAAGUUGAGGAGCGGACAUUUCAAAAUGCCUGUAACUUUUCCUCUUUAGCUAUGUGUUACUCUAUUUAGUGUUUUUAUUUUUACUUUUUCUCUUGGUGGUUUCUUUAUUUUCAGCACUUGCUAUGUUAGAAAUACUAGCAAAAUCAGGACUGAUUUAGAAUAUCUACUGUCCAAUGACCCAUAAAAGAGUAUAAUACAAAGGCAAUAGUAUUAUAUUUAAUACUUAUAGCAUAUAUUUGUUUAUGUUGAGACCAAAUCUACUCUCAUUGAGUUCAAGUCUAUUAUAGCUAGCAAGUAACUUCUUGGUUUUAAUUUAUGAUUGUUCUAUUAUAUAAAAAAUUUGUGUGCUUAAAUAGCUCAUCUUGUGAUAUAGUUUUAUUGAUUACUUGCUUUUUUUUCUUUUUUCUUUUUUCUUUUUUCUUUUUCUUUUUGUAGAAGCUUGGAGAAGUUUAACCUUAAUUUUAGUUCUUGUAAGCUAUCACAUUUACAUAUGUUUUGAUUUUAAUUUCUUUUUCCCUGUGAAAUGCUAAUAAGUUCAUAUAGCAAUUUCUCAUAGAUCUGAUUUUGAUCUGUUUUGUUAAGGUUAAUCCUUGUAUUAGCUGCAACUAUUUGUAGAUCUAAACACUAUUAAAGAUUACUUGGAUUGGCCAAGAAGCAGCAUACAAUACUUGGUAGGUGUAAAUGAGUUUCUUGGUUUUGCAUUUUCGAAUCCAUCUAUUGCUAGCUAAUAAGAUUCGAUGCCGGUGUGUGAAGUGUGUUAAUUGAACAACUUUAAGUAGAGAAUGUAUCUAAAGUAUUUGAAACUUCUAAAAAAUAAAUUUCGUAACUUUUCGAAAUCAUAAUAAAAUCUAUUAAACAGGAAUAAAAUGAACAAUCAAAAUUGAACGACGUCCUAAAAAUGGAUGAUCAAAUUUUCAAUUUAAGAUCGGAGUUAUUGAUCUUUAUUUCGAUAGUGAAUAAAAUUUUUUAUCAAAAAUUCAACCUAUUCUAAUUCUUUUACACCAUUAAACUAGCAAGUAUUCCAUACCGGUCGUUAAAAAUUGUCCAUUUUGUGACCUUUUGAUCGCAAGGUAAAUAAUGUCAAAAAGUUAUGAAAUUUGAUUUUUAAAAAUUUUAAAUGCUCUAAACAAUGUUUAAAGGUAUAGAUCGUCGAUUUAGAAGCUCUAUUAUCGAAAACGACUUAUGAGUACAAGGGCGAUUGUACUCAUAAGAGUAUCGUAGCCAGGCUAUAUAUAUAUAUAUAUAUAUAUAUAUAUAUAUAGUUGGACUGGGCUACUAUUAAUAGCAAAAUUUUAUUGUUGCUACCAGUUUUUUAGCAUUUGGAUCAACUCUUUUCAUUAUUUCUAACAAUUGGAUUAAAUACUAUAACCCAAUGGGGACCACUCAACCCUAGGGGGACCACUCAAUUCUAACCGACUAAUAUCAUCCUGACCCUACAAUUUUUCAUCCAAGGGUUAAAAACUUGAUAGCAAAAAGAGUGUUUUACUAUUAAUAGUAUUCCAGCCUAAUUCAUAUAUAUAUAUAUUUAUUAUAUUAAUAUAUAGAGAGAGAGAGACGAGAGAGAGAGAGAGAGAGAGGGUGAGAGCCUGAAGAGGAGGACAGGGAGAGACGAAGAGGGGGGCUUUUAGAAUAUAUUGAUUAGACAAAAUACUUUUUAAUUUCAAGGUUGUUACCUUUGGAUCGAAAUUUUUCAGAGAAGGUGAAUAGGAUUGUAUUAGGUACUUUUAGGGUUGAGUGAGGAGUCCCCCUAGAGUCCAGGUCAGUGGAAUGUACCAAAUUAGGUACGGGUCAGUGGAUCCCCACUGAAGUUAUAAUAUUUAAAAAUGGCAUAAUAUUUAAAUCAAUGCAUGGUUAGGAAUUGAUUUGAAAAAUUAAUCCAACAAGCUGCUAAAAUUAAAUUAGCAAUAUAGAGCUUUGUGAUUAUGUAGCAUUCUAGCUGAACUAUAUUAUGUAGAUUAGAGAGUUAGGCUAAAGAAAAAAAAGAUUAAGAUCUAACGGACGGAAAUGAUAAUUAAAACUCUGUAUCCAAAUACUUUUCUAAAAUACUCAAUACGUCUAGAUAUUUAACGGAAGCCGUUGUUCGAGAUUUGGAAGCAUCCAUCUGUCGGGAAAACGGACCUUAGGAGCACGGAGAUUCAUGUCUAUAAACACAAGACUACAAAUAUCUAUAUUAUUAUAUAGUAUUAUUAAUUAUAUAUAUAUAUAUAUAAUAUAUUACAUAAUAUAUAUAAUAAUAUAUAGUGCGAUCUGGAUAAUACUUCUUGAACCGUGAGCGUUUCCAUACUUCCAAGUCGUUUUCGUUUAGGACUAUCGCAACCGACAGAUCGGAUCCCGUUAGACUUUGAUCUUAGAGUAUUUAACGUUAACCCCAGAAAAUAACUUUUAUGAUUUUUUAUAAACAAUUUUUUUAUAUCACUUGCUAGUGAUCAAGGGGCUACAAAUCAAAGGUAAAAUUAAAAAAAUUACCAAAAUAUAGUAUGAUGAAUAUGACGUUAAAUUAUUAGAUCAAAUUUAUUUGAAUCAUUCAUUUAAUAUUAGUCUAUUUAAAAGAAUCAUUUUUAUCAAGAAUGGUCAGUGAUUUGAAUAUUUUUACAACCUACGAUCUAUCAACUUGAACGGAUACCACGGCUCAUCCUCUGUGUUAAAUGAUUGAUUUUGCUGAGCCCUUCAAUCAACUAGCGAAAAUUGAUAUCGAAACAAAAAUCACAAAAUUUAUUUAUCUAGCGGUACUUCAAAUAUUCUAGAUCAAGUGUCACUGAUGAUACGGAGAUCGAUCGUCGAUUCAAAAGUCAACAUCUGAAACGACUUGGAAGCACGGAAGGGUAGUUGCCUGAGAGCAAUACGCCCCUAUAUAUAUAAUACCUAUAAUACCAUUAUCAUACUAAGUACUAUAUAGAGGUCGGUACUUAAUGCUAUUCAAUAGCUGAUAAACUUUGGAGGUGUACCAGUAUUCGCAUCGUUAGAUUAGAAUCCCUUCUUGGAUCAUUUUACCAAUUAGAAUACAGUACUAUUCAAGCAACCCACCAUCAACCCUUCGGCGGGCCACAUUUCAUCCUUAAACCACACUCUCUUAAUCCAAUGCCAAAAACUUAGGUAGCACACCUCUAUGACUCGAGUGACCUAAUUUAAUACGAUAUAUUAGCCUAGUGUUAUAUAUAGUAUAAUAAUAAUAUAGAAGAGAGAGGAAGUAGAAGAGGAGAGUAGAGAGAAGAAGCGAGACAGGAGGGGAGAAAGAGAGAGAGAGAGAGGAAUCUUGGUAUUUCUGGACAGCACGGGCCUACGUGACUUCCAAGUCGUUUUGAUAUGGACUUGGUUCGAAAUCGACGACAGGGCAUUCCAUGUUCGACGAUAUAGAGUAUUUUAAGUAUUAGGAAAUAUUUUGAAGAUUUUUUGAUAGCAUGCUAGUGAUCAAGUGGUCAAAAUCACACGGCUGAAAAAAUAAAAAUCUUAUAAAAAUUGAUGAUAUGAUAUAAAAAUUUUAGAUCAGAAAUAUUGAUCUUAUUUUAUAUAGUAUAAAAAAUUUUCUAUCAAAGUUUUACGUGAUUUGGAUAUUUCUACACCGUUAAACUUGUAAACGGCUCACCACGGUCAUUAAAAUUAUUCAUUUUGAGCCCCUUCGAUCACUAGGCAAAUGAUAUCGAAAAAUCACAAAAUUUAUUUUCUAGAUAUUUCAAAUACUCUAGAUCAAGUUUGAGAGAGAGAGAGAGAGAGAGAGAGAGAGAGAACUAGGCUGAUAUACUAUCGAUAGCCCGGAGGCCUCCGUGCUACCAAAUUGUUUUCAAUGUUGCGGUUUUCAAAUCGACGAUCGGUUCCAUUAGACUUGAUCUACAUUAUUGAAAGUAUCAGGAAACUAAAUUUCAUAACUUUUCGACAUCAUUUACCUAUCAAACAAGUAAUCUAAAAAUGAACGGCUGAAAAUAAAAAUCUCAUAAAAAAUGAUGAUAAAAGAUUUGAAUUUAAAAUCAGAAAUACUAAACUUACUCUAAAUAGUGAAAAAAAAAUUCAAUAAAAAUUUUAUCAGAUUUGGAUUAUUUUACACCGUUAAAUUCACAAACGCAUCACAUCUACUAUUAAAAUUGUUAAUUUUGAGACCCUUUAAUCACUAGCCAAAUGAUGUUGAAAAAUUAUGAAAUUUAAUUUUCAAAUACUUUUAAUGGUGUAAAUCAAGUCUAACAGAGCCGAUCGUCGAUUUGGAAGUCGCAUCAUUGAAAAAAACUUGGAAGCACGGAGGUCUUCGUGCUACCGAUAGUAUACCAGCCUAGCUCUCUCUCUCUCUCUCUCUCUCUCUAUAUAUAUAUAUAUGCAAUUAACACUAAUAUUAUUAUUCUAUUGGGACCACUCAAUCCUAAGUGGGAUCGCUAUCAUCCCGAUCCUAUAACUUUUAAUCCAACGGCCAAAAAGUCGGAAAUACCAAUUCCCUUUAUGAUUUUGAAAGUGAUUUUGAAAGCAUAAUAUCUCUACUAUAUAUACAUAUAUAUAUAUAUAUAUAUAUAUAGACACACACACACACACACACACAUCACUAUGCUUUCCAAAGUAUAAAGAAGUUUGUAUUUUCGACUUUUUGUCUUUUGGAUCAACUCUUUUGACAAUUUCUGAUUUUUGGAUUAAUAUUAUUAUCCUAGGAGGACCACUCCAUCCUAAGAGGGAACCACUAUCACCCCGAUCAUAUAAUUUUUGUCAAAAAGUCAGAAACACCAACUUACUUAUACUAUUGAUAGUAUAAUAGCUCUACAAUAUAUAUAUAUAUAUACAGUGCGUCUGGAAUGCCUCUGGAAGCACGGAGCACUCCGUUCUUCCAAGUUGUUUUCGAUAUUUGGACUUUCGAAUCAACGAUCGGCUCCAUUAGACUUGAUCUAGAGUAUUUAAAAUAUCUGGAAAAUAAAUUUUGCGAUUUUUCGAUAUCGUUUGCCUAGUGAUCGAAGUGGCUCAAAAUCAACGGCUGAAAAUAAAAAUCUUAGAAAAUAUGAUGAUAUGACAUUAAAAUUUUAGAUCAAAGUUAUUGAUCUUGUUUUAUAUGGUAUAAAGAAUUUUUUAUCAAAAUUUCAUGUGAUUUGGAUAUUUCUACACCGUUAAACUUGCAAACGGCUCACCACGGCUAUUAAAAUUAUUGAUUUUGAGCCCCUUCGAUAANNNNNNNNNNNNNNNNGGUUCAAAAUCAACGGCUGAAAAUAAAAAUCUCACAAAAAGUGGUGAUAUAGCAUUAAAAUUUUCGAUCAAAUAUAUUGAUCUUGCUGUAAAUAGUAUAAAUAAUUUUCUAUCAAAAUUUCAUCUGAUUUGAAUACUUCUAUAUUGUUAAACUUGCAAACGGUAUACAUCAACCAUUAAAAAUUGUUGAUUUUGAACCUUUUCGAUCGCUAGAAAAAUGAUACCAAAAAAUCACAAAAAUUAUUUUCUAGAUAGCUCAAAUAUGUUAGAUUAAGUCUAAGAAGCCGAUCGUCGAUUCUGAAGCUCUAUUAUCGAAAAUGGCUUAAGAGCACGGAGGGCUCCAUGAUCCUAAUAGCACACAAGACCUACUAUAUAUAUAUAUAGGCUACUAUACUAUCGGUAGUACGGAGGUCUUCGUGAUAGCAAGUUGUUUUCAAUGGUGCGGUUUUCAUAUCCACAAUCGGAUCUAUUAAACUUGAUAUGCACUAUUGAAAGUAUUUGAAAACUCAAUUUUAUAAUUUUUCGAUAUUAUUUGGCUAGUGAUCAAAAGGUCUCAAAAUUAAUAAUUUUAAUGAUCGACGGUAUAAAACAAUCCAAAUCUGAUGAAAUUUUUAUAAAAUUUUGUUUCACUAUUUAGAGUAAGAUCAAAACCUCUUAUCUUAAAUUCAAGUCUUUUAUCAUUUUUUAAUGAGAUUUUUAUUUUUAACCGUUUAUUUUUAGGCUAUUCGUUUGAUAUGUAAAUAAUGUCAAAAAUUAUAAAACUUAAUUUUCAAAUACUUUAAAUAGUAUAAAUCAAGUCUAAUAGAGCCUAUCGUCGAUUUGGAAGCUGCAUCAUUGAAAACAACUUAGUAGUAUGGAGACCUCCAUGCUACCGAUAGUAUAACAGCUGGACUCUAUGUAUGUACAUAUAGAGAGAGAGAGAGAGAGAGAGAGUAGGACUAUUGUACUAUUAGGAGCACGGAAACCUGUAUAUUCCUAAGUUCGUAAUCAUUUAUUAAUUUUGAUGGGUGGUUAGCGUGAGAAAGAGAAAAAAAAUGGAAAAAAAUUAGGUGUCUCAAUCUCUCUUUUCUUUGAAUUUUUUUUUUUUUUUCUCUCUCUCACCCUAACCACCCAUCAAAAUUGAUGAAUGGUUAGUAACUCAGGAGCACACAGGCUGCUGUGCUCCUAAUAGUACAGUAGCCGUACUUUAUAUAUUAUAUAUCAGAACAAAAUAUAAAUGAUUAAAAAAAAUCAUCGGACUCUAUCGUGGAAGUGCGCUGUAUUCAAAUGCUUUGUUUUGAUACAAACAAAAAAACAAAAUAACAAAAUAAAAAUAAAUAAAAAAGAAACAAGGAGAGAAAAAAUGUCACAAAAAUAGAUAUAAAUGUGGGUCAUUAGGAAUCGGACCUAUCGCCUACCUAUAAUGAUCCAAUUUUCUUUUCUCUUCUAAAAUUGAGAGAAAAAGCGAAAGUCAUCCUACUGGUUUCUUUUCCUUCGUCCAAAGAGUAUAAAAAUAAAUUACGUUUUCUCUUAUCAUUAUCUUUUUGGGAAAACUUCAAAUACCUCCCAUAUGGUUUCACUUUUUCUCACUUUACUACCCUGUGAUUUAAAGUGUACUCAACUUGAUACACUUUAAACCACAUGAUACUAAAAUAAAAAAGUACGUAACUACGGGGGGUUUUUGAAGUUUUCCCUUAUCUUUUUUAUAAAACAAAAGAUUUCUCACAUGUUCUCUUCAUCCAACUUAAACAUAAAUUAUUUUUAAAAGAGCAAUCCAAAGUUCACAACUCAAAAUAAGUGUAAACCUACAACACUCUCACCCAAAUAUAUAUAUAUAUAUAUAUAUAGUUUUUUACUACUCUUACCACUACUUUUCUUAACUAAAAUUUUAAAAAAAUUACCGACCGUCCCUAGAGCAAGUGGCAAAGGGUUUGAUAGUUUGUACUCGAGACCCAAGUUUGAAUUCUAAUUGAUUCACAUUUUCAGCUAAGUUUAUUUCUAAAUGAAAUAAAUGAAACGGUUAACGUGCUACUAUCUCUCAAAAAAAAAAAAAAUUAAAAAAGGUUCGAAAACUUAGAGGAAGGUUUGUUGAGAUUACAACUCCUGUAAAUUAAGAAUUUAUCUUUUUUUCUUUCAAAUUUGUCCAAAAUUUUAUAUUAAUGUUAAGCUACGUACUUUUUAUUUUCUACCACUUACGUCUACCACCAUUCGUCGCUGCUAGCGCUACUCUUACGCAUUAAUUACACCCGCCUUAAAUUCCCUCGGUGCUUUUGUUACCUCCCACCCACCCCACUCCCUCCCCUUCACUCCACCGCUUUCUCCUCGACACUUUCCUUCUCUCUCCCUCUCUGGUGCAAUGUCGUCGUCGGAUUCGUCGUGGGCGGCGUCGACGCUCCCAGACUCCCCGGCGCCUGCGGCAGCGGCGGCGGCGGCGGCGGCGGCGGCGGGCGUUGGGCUCGGCUACGGCAUCGCCAUCGCCGUCGGCAUCCUCGUCCUCGUCUCCACCAUCAUGCUCGCCUCCUACCUCUGCGUCCGCGCCAAGGGCACCUCAUCAUCCUCCCCCUCCCCGCCCCUCCCCACUCACCACCACCGCCACCACCACCACCACCCCCGUUCACCCACCACAUCCGAAAUGGCGGUGGCGGUGGGGCUCGACGACGCCGCCAUCGACGCCUUCUACCCGAAAUUCGCAUGCGGCGCGGGGAAGGAAGAGCCGGCGGCGGUGGUGGGGACGUGCGCGAUAUGUCUGGGGGAGUGCGAGGCCGGGGAGGCGGUGCGGCGGGGGACGGAGUGCGGGCACGGCUUCCACGCGGGAUGCGCCGAGCGGUGGCUGCGGGUGAGCGCCGCCUGCCCGCUCUGCCGCAGCUCCUCGCCCUCCCCGGCCGCCACCAGCCCGCAGCCACCCCGCUCUCCGAGCUCAUCCCCUCGCCCUCCACGCCAAUGAAAUUGGAUCUCGCGCCGCUACCUGUCGGUGCGGGUUCUAAAAAAAGUUUUUUUUUUUUUUUUUUUUUGCUUCCCUUCAUUUCGAUGUACUAUUAUUAUUUAAUUUAUUAUUGAUUUUGAUUUAAUAUACUUGGUUUUGCUUACUUGCUUACUUGAUUAAUUAAUUAGUGUUUUGUGGGUCAAAGGGCCUAAGUUGAAAUCGUGGUGUCUAAGAUCACUCACUUCCAUGCAAAAUUCAGAAAUGGUGAAGACUGUAGAGUAUAGAAGCGAAUGUUUUAGUAUCAAGAUCCCAAAUCACGUCUUACAAAAAGUAUUGACAGUCCAGAAAUUGAGCUAGAAUACUUUUAGAAGUACCAAUCCCUUACUGCUUCUAAGUUUUUAGGCUUCUAGCCCUUGGAUCUAUUUCUUGAUUACUAAUAGUCUUUGGAUCAAACACUAUUCCACCUAUUAUCACCUACUACCAUCAUCUCAACCUCAUAUCUAUCCAUCCAAUGGCUUAAAACUCGAAAACACCACAUUCUUGGUACUUUUGAAAGUAUUCGAGUCCAACUCGACAGUCCAGUCCCUAUAUGGGUCUAAAAAAUUUCAUUUUGUCGGAGAGGUUUUUGUUUGAGAAUGUGACCUACCCAGUUAAACUCAUUCAAAAUUAGACCCACCAUGCAGUUUGGGUCUAUUCGAUCGCCUACAGCAACCUUAAUUAUAAUCUAGUGAUUUCUAUUUCACAUCUCGUAAUUUCUAUUUUAUGUAAACUAUUCUAGUAAGUAAAUUCUAUCUUUUACAUAUGAAUCGGCCACCUCUUCUUAACUCCAAUCCUUCCACUCUUCAAGCAUUUUCGGCCACUCUUAUCUGAGUCUUGCCUUUUAGAGUGCGUCAAGCUAUCAGCAUAUAUAUAUAUAUAUAUAAUAUUUAUAACAAUAGCCAAAUAAAUUAACGCAUCAAAUCGGUUGGAUCAGUAGCUUAAGAUUAUCGAAUUGUUGAAUCUAAUGUUAACUAUUAGAAAGAUCUAAUCCAGUUUAAGCCCACAUAAUAUCAAAAUAUGGCAUAGUCUAAUUUGGUGUUCGCCGGCGCUCUACGUUUCCAAAUUUUAGCAUACACAUUGUUUUCACGUAUAAAGUCGUAACACAUUUUAUCCCUUGUAAAAUGAGUCAUCUAUUUUAGUUCAAUCCAAAUUAGAUUUUAAAAAAAUAUUUUUUAUAAACAUGUUGUUUAUUGACAAAUUUUGACUCAAAAACUUGAGUAUAUUAGGCUUGAAUUCAUUAGUAUAUAUCGAUCAUUUAUUCUUUACUUAUAAAUGAAAUGAUCAUUAUAUUUUUAAUUAUUGAGAAUUAAUACAAUGUAUAUAAAAGUUCAGAAACUAAAUUCAUGUUUCGUUCGCCGAAAGUGUAACAUCGAAAGUGGUACUUUUAGAAAGUGAUGUAUUAUCGGUUAUUUAUUUUACGAAAGUGAAUACGAAAGUCAUUUUACAAAAAUAGACUAAUAAAGUGAGUUAUAAUUAAAUCCCACUUUCUUAACCUUGGCUCAAAAAAUUCAGAAGUCACCGAAAGUAGAGAUCGAGCUAAGCUAAGAGGUUAUAUUUGGUCUUAACUUUAAUAUUUAAAUUUAUUUUUAAAGUUCAAUUUCACUUUAAAUUUGAAUUAAAAUUAUGAUCACAUUUUGAAUUUUAUUUGUAAAUUAAAAUUCAACAUAAAAUUUUAAAUUCAAAUUUAUGACUUUAUAUUUAAAUUUAAAAUUUAAAAUUUAUUUUUAUUUAAAUUUGAAUUCUAGAAUUUAAAUUUAAAUUUUAAAUUUUAAAUUUUAAUCAAAUUAUUUUUAGUUAAGAUCUUCGAUUUGAAAUUUGAAUUCAAAUUGUUCAAACUAUAAAUUCAAAUUAUUGACUGAAAUUUGAAUUUAAAAUUUAAAUUUUUAAGUUCAAAUUCAAAUUCAAAUUUAAAUUUGCUAUUUACAUUUAAUUUCAAUAAUGAAUUCCAGUCUGAAUUUGAAUUCGACUUAUGAAUUCAAAUGUUCGAUUCGAAUUGUGAUUUAAACUCAUAUUUUAAUUUUAAUUUAAAUAUUAAUUUAAAUUGUGAAUUCAUAUUUGAAUUCAGAAUUUAAGAUCAAACAGUAAAUUAAUAUAUAAUUCAAAUUAUAAAUUCAAAUUUGAUUAAAUGUUCUAAUUUUUGUGUUGAACUUUUAUUUUAAAAUUUAAUUUCAGUUAUAACUUAUAACUUAAAUUUUAAAUUCAAAUUGUAAAUUAAAUUUAUGUCUUAAAUUUUAAUUAUAAAUUCAACUCAGAUUUAAAUUUAAAUUUAAAUUUAAAUUUUUAAUUUAAAUUGCAAGUAUAAGUCGUUUGUUUAUAUUUUCACCUUUUUAUAUAUAAUUUAAAGAUAAAUUGUAUUGUUACCCCUUGAACUUUUGGCAAAGUUUCAUUUUAGCCAUCGAACUCCUAAAAUGGACAUCUAACACUCUAAACUCUAAUAUUUCAUUCAUGUUACCUAUUCCGUCAGUUUUCCGUCAAGCUUAGUUAACCGGAAACUGAUGGAAGGCGUAAAAUGAAUGAAAUAUUAGAGUUUAGGGUGUAAGAUAUCUAUUUUAGGAAUUUGGGGGGUUAAGUGAAACUCGCUAAAAGUUCAGGAGGUAGCAGUGCAAUUUACCCUAAUUUGUUACUUAUGGAUUGACUACUAACCCUCAAGUUAGUGACCAUACUUGAUUUUGAAUUUAUAUAUAUUUUUUAUCCUAAAAUAAAUCAUACCAUAAUUUAUCCUACAUUUUAUUGUAAUAAAAUAAAAGCGAAAGAAAUGAAUUAGAGUGACUUAAAGAUAAGAAAAGAGCGAUACUAACUACCUACGAUGCUCGAGCACUCUAUUGUCCUACUGUACUCGCUAAUAUGGUUGAUUUACAAUAGAUGCUCUCGCUCGGAUGUAGAGAUUUUAAUUCUCGGUUAAUUUUCUGUAGCACUCGUUUGUCCCUUUUAUCUUUAGAAGUAUUGUUCUAGAAAAUGCACUUAUUUUCUAUGAAACUAUGCAAUGUAAUUUUAUUGUAGCCUAAAAUAAAAUUUUUGUACUUCAUUUCAGCCAAUUAAAAAUUUUUAAUAUAAAAAUAUAAAAUAAUAUUUUAUAAUACUUUAGAACAAAACUUCUAAAGAUAAAAGAGACAAAUGAGUACUACAAAAAAUUAACUGAGAAUUAAAAUCUCUAUAUCCCAGUGAGAACACCUAUUAUAAAUCAACCAUAUUAACGAGUGCAUCAGGACAAUAUAGUGUUCGAGUAUCGUAGCUGGUUAGUAUCGCUUUUUUCUUAUCUUUAAGCCACUCUAAUUCACUUCUUUCGCUUUUAUUUUAUUACAAUAAAAUAUAGAAUAAAUUAUGGUAUAAUUUAUUUUAGGAUGAUAAAUUCAAAAUCAAGUAUGAUCACUAACUUGAGAGUUAGUAGUCAAUCCAUAAAUAAUAUAUUAUAAUAAAAUAAUUUAUAGUCAAUAGUCCUACAGGGUAAAUUGCACUACUACUUUCUGAACUUUUGGUGAGUUUUACUUAACCCCCAAAACUCUUAAAAUAGAUAUUUAAGACUCUAAACUCUAAUAUUUCAUUCGUUUCAUCCCUUCCGUUAGUUUUCAGUUAACGGAGCUUGACGGAAAACUGACAGAAAGGGUAACAUAAAUGAAAUAUUAGAGUUUAGGAUGUUAGAUAUCCAUUUUAGGAGUUCGAGUGAUAAAGUAAAAUUUCGCCAAAUGUUCAGGAGAUAAUAAUGCAAUUUAUCCUAUAAUUUAAUCAUAAAAAAUUAUAAAAUUAUAGUUUUAAUUUUUACUUUAUAGCAACCAAACAAUUGAACUGAAAAAUCACUUUAGUAGAAAUUACUUUUAUAAAAGUGACUUUUUCCACUUCACCGACUUUCGAGCAAUCAAACAUGCCCCAAGUGAAAACUGCAUAAUCAAGCCACAACAGUGUAUAUUGGUUGGUAUCCCUACAUAUUAUUCUUUAUUUUAACUGAUCUGAAUGGAAAUGCUAGCUAGGAUUGGAUGAGUUCACUUCCUUUUUUGACUUCAUGAAGUACCAUACCUAUACAAAAUUGAUGAAUAAUUAGAAAAUAGGAGAAAGGACCAACUUUACUUUACCAUAUUAGUUUACUUUGUUAAAUUACUUUAUUUAGGGCGGUGUGACAUAUUAAACAGUCAAUGUUAGAAAAACGAACAUAAUGGAUCCUCGGGUGGGAGUGACUCCCCACCUUCCACCCGUUUUUUUUUUCGCGAGCUGGGAUAGAUUCGUAACAUAAUUAGUAUUAAAAAAAAAAAUUAAAGAAAUUUGACAACGAUACCAAACAGACCUAAACAUAAACUUAAAGAGCUCUAGGCAAAUAUUAUAUUUGUAGAAGGUUUUAUUUAUUUAUUUAUUUAUUUACAAAAAGAUAGCUUGCUACCCGCUUCAUUCAUUAAAAAUAUGAACUAAGCUACUAUUUGUUUUUUCUUUUUUGAGAGAGAUAGGUAGCACGCUACCCACUUCAUUUAUUUCUAUUAUAUUUGGUUUAGAUUUGUAGUUAUCUAAACUGGAGUUAAAUCCUAAUUUAAUUGGGAUUGGAUUUAAUUUGGCAUAUACGAAUUAUAAUUAGGAGUGUAAUUCUUAUUGAAUUAGAAUUAAACUCUAGUUAGGAGACAUGUAUUAUAUAUACAUGCUACGAUCAAAUUAAUGAUGCCGCGACUCAAAUUAAGGCCAUGCAAAUUAAUUAAAUUGUUAGUGCCCCAUCAGUAUGGUGGGAGCAAUUCUAGCCCGUAUUGCUCUAAUUAGAGGCAAGCUCUAAUGACGCCGCAUCUCUAAUUAGACCUAUGCUAAUUCCGUACGGCGUUGGAUCUUGGGAGGAGCCGUAUGCACUAAUUAGUGCUAAUUUGUGGUCCGUACGGAUUGAGAGAGAAGCCACUUUGGAGUUGCUUGUUGCGGCGUUUUAGAUCUAAUUAAGUUUUGGUUCUUUUGAGAGAUUUUCUUUGUACUCCGCCUUUUCGACAUUAAUAAAAUAUUUGCUCCGUCUUCAUCCGUGGACGUAGGCCGUUGGCCGAACCACGUAAAUAUCGAUGUGCUCUUUCCUUAUCUUUUAUUUUUCUACAUUAAGUUAUUUUCUGGUUCUAUUUUUCGCUAUUCCGAUUUUAACAAACUGGUAUCAGAGCCUUUCUAUUUCCUUUGAGGAUUAAGAUGACGACGAAGUUCGAGAUUCAAAAAUUUGACAGUACCAACAGUUUCGUAUUAUGGCAAGUCAAUAUGCGUGCUGUAUUAACGCAACAAGGAUUGCAGAAGGCACUGUUGGGAAAAAAAAAGAUGUCCAAUUCUUUAACGGCGGAGCAGAAGGAGGAGAUUGAUGACAAAGCUCUGACGGCAAUACAAUUAUAUUUAUCUGAUGAGGUAUAGUGCGAGGUCUUGGAUGAAAAUACCGCUGCAGGGCUUUGGCUUAAAUUGGAGUCUCUCUAUAUGACGAAGUCUCUCACCAACAAGUUAUAUUUGAAGCAACGUCUCUUUAUGUUACACAUGGCAGAAGGUACCUCUAUUAAGUCGCAUUUAGAUGAAUUUAAUUCUAUUAUUAUGGAUCUCCGCUCGAUAGAUGUCAAAAUCGAGGAGGAAGAUGAAGCCCUUUUAUUAUUAUGUUCUCUACCGCCCUCUUGUAAGAAUUUUCGUGAGACCUUGUUUGGACGAGAUACUCUAUGUCUCGAUGAUGUUAAAUCCUCUUUACUUUCAAAAGAGAGAAUUGACAUGCAGAUAAGCAACGAGAUAGGUGGAGCUUCAGGACAAGGUUUGUCGCUAGAGGGAGGUCUCAGGAGAAGGGUUCUGGUAAUAUAGGUACAUCUAGAUCAAAGUCAAAGUACAGGAAUCUGAUUUGUGGUUAUUGUAAGAAGAAGGGUUACAUAAAAGCUGAUUGUUUCAAGUUGAAAAAUAAAGAGCAGCGAAAAAAUAACGAUGAUAAGAAUUAAGGUAAAAAAAAUACCAAUACUGAAGCAGAAGCAAAUAUUGCAGCAGAAGAAUCAGAUAAAAAUGAUAUCGUCUUCACAGUUACAGAUAAGACACGCAGACAGGAUGAGUGGCUUAUGGACUCCGCAUGUUCCUUCCAUAUCUACACGCAUAAAAAAUGGUUCUCGACGUACAAGCCUAUUGAAGGUGGAGAUGUAUUGAUGGGAAAUCACUCUAAGUGCACAGUUAUUGGAAUUGGCACUAUUCGGGUACGGAUGUUCGAUUGAGUAGUGAGAACUAUAUCUGAGGUUCGGGAUGUUCCGGAUAUGAGAAAAAAAUCUGAUCUCAUUGGGUACCCUUAAUACUAAAGGCUUUAAGUAUUCUUCAGCUGACGGAUUAAUGAAGGUCGCUAAAGGAAAUCUUGUAGUGAUGAAGGCCAAGUUGUCCGACAAGUUAUAUAUUCUACAGGGUUCCAUUGUGACAGGUUCAGCAGCGGUGAUUUCUUCUUCUAUGUCAGAUUCGGAUAGCACCAGAUUAUGGCAUAUGCGACUAGGCCAUAUGAGCGAAUAUGGUAUGAUGAAGUUGGGCGAGAAAUGUCUAUUUGGUAGUCAAAGUUUAGAAAAGUUGGACUUCUACGAGCAUUGUGUUGUUGGUAAACAAAAUAGAGUCAACUUUAAGGCUGCAGUUCAUCGAACAAAAGGUACUCUGGACUACAUCCAUUCUGAUCUUUGGGGACCUUCUCGUACUCCUACUCAUGGUGGUGCUAGAUAUAUGUUGACUUUUAUUGACGACUAUUCUCGUAAAGUGUGGGCGUUCUUUCUGAAAAGUAAGGAUGAGGUGUUCAAUUAUUUCAAGCAGUGGAAGGUCAUGAUUGAGAAGCAAACUGAAAAGAAGAUCAAGAGAUUAAGGACCGACAACGGUUUGGAAUUCUGUUCGUCAGAGUUUGAAGAAUUCUGCAAGAAGGAAGGGAUCGUUCGACAUAAGACCGUUAGGCAUACUCCACAGCAGAACGGGGUGGCCGAACGGAUGAAUAGAACUCUUUUGGAGAGGGCCCGUUAUAUGCUCUCUAAUGCUGGCUUAGCGAAGAGUUUCUGGGCAGAGGCAAUCUCUACGGCAUGCUAUUUAGUGAAUCGAUCUCCACAUCCAGCACUUAACUGCAAAACUCUGAAGGAGGUAUGGUCUGGCAGCUCUUCUGAUUAUUCUAAUUUGCGAAUAUUUGGUUGUCCUGCUUAUGUUCAUGUUAAUGAAGGCAAGUUGGAACCUAGGGCUAAAAAGUGCAUUUUUAUUGGUUAUGCAUCGAGGGUUAAGGGAUAUAGAUUGUGGUAUCCUAAAUCGUAUAAAUUAAUUAUUAGUAGGAAUGUCACAUUUGAUGAAUCUGCUAUGUUAUAUCCUAACCGUAAUUCUUCUGAUGAGACCCCGAGUGCUAGCAAGCAGGUGGAGGUAGAGACCAAUGGUAUAGUUCAGUCGCAGGAUUCUUCUCAGUCAGAACAAGUUCAGUCGGCAGACACCUCAGUAACUGAAACCCCACAAGUUGAGAAGCAGAGCAUUACUACAGGCAGAGCGAGGAGACAGAUCAAACCACCGCAGAGAUAUGGUUAUGAAGAUAUGGUUGCGUACGCUCUUUCAGUAGCACAAGACACAGAAGAAGGUGAGCCUUCCACAUAUAAUCAAGCUAUUUCUGGUACCAGUUCUGCAGAGUGGUUGAUGGCGAUGAAUGAGGAGAUGGAGUCUCUCCAUAAGAAUCACACAUGGGAGUUGGUAAAAUUGCUUACAGGCAAGAAAAUUGUCGGCUGUAAAUGGGUCUUCAAGAAAAAGGACGAAAUCCCCGGCAUAGAAGAUACAAGGUAUAAAGCUCGUUUAGUUGCUAAGGGCUACAGUCGGGUAGAAGGUGUUGACUUUAAUGAUAUUUUCUUACCCGUCGUAAAGCAUACUUCUAUUCAUAUUCUUUUAUCGUUAGUAGCCAUGAAUGACUUGUAUCUUGAGCAGCUUGAUGUUAAGACAGCUUUUUUGCAUGGAGAACUUGAGGAGCAAAUUUAUAUGAAACAGCUGGAAGGAUUCAUUGUUGAAGGGAAGGAAGACCAUGUUUGCCUGUUAAAGAAAUCGCUUUAUGGCUUAAAGCAGUCUCAUCGACAAUAGUAUAAACGGGUCGACUCUUUCAUGACAGGUCACGGAUAUUCCAGAAGCAAGCGUGACAGUUGCGUGUAUUUCAGAAAGCUUGAUAAGGGAUCUUUCAUAUAUUUAUUACUCUAUAUCGAUGAUAUGUUAAUUACUUCUAGCGACAUAGUUGAGAUAAAUAAAUUGAAGGCUUUACUUAAGGGUGAGUUUGAGAUGAAAGAUCUAGAUGCUGCUAAGAAAAUCCUUAGUAUGAAAAUUAGGAGGGACAACAAGUCAGGACUACUGCAUUUGACACAAGAGAAAUAUAUAGAGAAGAUUUUAAAGUGUUUCGGGAUGACAGUUGCAAAACCGGUGAGCACUCCUUUUGCGGCGCAUUUCAGACUUUCUGUCGAGGCAUCACAGCAGUCCGAUGAUGAGCGGGAGUACAUGUCACAUGUUCCCUAUUCUAGUGCUGUCGGGAGCAUCAUGUACGCCAUGGUUUGCACGCGACCGGACAUCUCCUACGCAGUAAGCAUGGUUAGCAGAUAUAUGACCAAUCCUGGUAAGGCUCAUUGGCAAGCUGUUUUGUUGAUUUUGAGAUACUUACGACGUACCACUAACACUUAUUUGGAGUUUGGGAGAUGUAAGGAUAGUGUGGUUGAAUAUGUUGAUUCGAAUUUUGCAGGUGGUUUGGACAGGAGGAGAUCACUUUCAGGUUAUGUAUUUUCUAUUGGCGGAUGUGCAGUUAGUUGGAAAGCUUCACUACAACCUAUUAUCGCCUUGUCUACGACGGAGGCAGAAUAUAUUACUAUGACAGAGGGUGUGAAGGAAGCUAUGUGGCUAAGAGGCUUAUUUGGAGAGCUUACUUCUUGUUGGAAUCCGACGAUUGUUUAUUCAGACAGUCAAAGUGUUAUUCAUUUGUCGAAAGACCAGAUGUUUCAUGAGAGGACAAAACACAUCGAUGUAAAGUUUCACUUUGUUCGGGAUGUGAUUGGGAAAUGCACGGUGACUAUUAAGAAAAUUGGUAUUGAGGACAAUCCGGCGGAUAUGCUUACUAAGUUCCUUACUAUUGCCAAGUUCAAGUAUUGUUUAGACUUGGUGUCAGUUGGCAGUAUUUGAGGCCCUAUGGAACGUUUGGGGAAGACGGAGCACGGAGCGUUAAGGAGCAUUGAGACGAAUUAAAUUCAAGGUGGAGUUUUGUGGCGAUCUCGACAUAGCGGCUAAACUAUAAAUUAAACCAAAGUGGAGAUUGUUAUAUUUAGUUUAAAUUUGUAGUUAUCUAAAUUAGAGUUAAAUUCUAAUUUAAUUGGGAUUGGAUUUAAUUUGGCAUAUACGGAUUAUAAUUAGGAGUGUAAUUCUAAUUGAAUUAGAAUUAAACUCUAGCUAGGAGACAUGUAUUAUAUAUACAUACUACGGUCAAGUUAAUGAUGCAGCGACUCAAAUUAAGGCCAUGCAAAUUAAUUAAAUCACUGGUGGUCCGUCGGUACGGUGGGAGCAAUUCAAGCCGAUGCGCAUUGCUCUAAUUAGAGGCAAGCUCUAAUGACGCCGCGCCGCAUCUCUAAUUAGACCUAUACUAAUUCCGUACGGCUUUGGAUCUCGGGAGGAGAGCCGUAUGCACUAAUUAGUGCUAAUUUGUGGUCCGUACGGACUGAGAGAGAAGCCACUUUGGAGUUGCUUGUUUGCGGCGUUUCGGAUCUAAUUAAGCUUUGGUUCUUUUGAGAUAUUUCUUUGUAAUCCGUCUUUUCGAUAUUAAUAAAGUAUUUGCUCCGUCUUCGCCCGUGGACGUAGGCCGUUGGCCGAACCACGUAAAUAUCGGUGUGCUCUUUUCUUAUCUUUUUUUUUCCUGCAUUAAGUUAUUUUCUGGAUCUAUUUUUCGCCGUUCCGAUUUUAACAAUUUCAUUUAGAAAUAAACUUAACUAGAAAUAUGAAUCAACUAGGAUUCGAAUUUGAGAUCUCGGGUAUCAACAACCAAACCAUUUGCCACUUGUUUUAGGGACGGUCGGUCUAAGUUACAAUUUGCAGAAGGUAUUGUUAGGCCAAAGCAAGUCUCAAGUGCAUUAUUGUGUGCAAAAGUCAGUGUGUGAUUUCAGUAGUAGGUUGUACACAGUGACCAUCUUCACUAUUUCUCUACCUGCUGGUAGCAACGGCCAACUACCCUAGAUGACCUGACCAUUUUUUGUCUAUUAAAGAGCUAAUUAAAUAUGUUUAAACUAACUUUGGAAAAGUACACAUUGAGAAAUACUGGGAUCUCUAUAAUGUUGGUUUUUCACAUUGUUGAUGCCUUGGUACCUUUCACAUCAGUCUUUUUUUUUUUUUUUUUUUUUUUUUUUUNAAGGAUACUAAAGUGAAAAAGCGCUAAACCACAGGGAGGAUAUUUGAAGUUUUUUUUUUUUUUUUUUUUGCGUUAUCCUCUCUGUUAACUCUCCAUUAUCGAUAACAACAAAAAGUUAUUUUUUAAAAUUUAGUUCUCGAACAAAACGCAGGAUUUAGGUUUUUUUUUUUUUUUUUUUUUUUUGUAUUGCUUUGGUGAUCUGAGUUUACCAUUCUGGCUCUAUUAUCAUCUUUUCGAUUUUUUAUCAAAACUAUUAAGAAUUUGCAUUUUGGGUUUUGAGUUUUAUUUUAGCGUUGAUUUUGAUUAAAAAAAAUUACAUGAAAUCAAUUAAAUGAGAAUGUUUUUUUUCAUGUUAGGUAGCAUGGUGAGUGACACAUUUUAGAAUUGAUGAUAAGCGACACCGAUAGAGGAAAGAAGAAUGAUUGAUUGAUUGCCUAAUAUCAAAAAUGAAAGCCUUCGUAUCAAGAAAAAUGAUUGAUUGCCUAAUAUUAAAAGUAAAAGAAUAUUUGAAGAGUCUUCGCUGCUAGUAGCAUGCACGAAAACCUUCAUACUAUCAAGUUAUUUUUAAUAAUGUUGCUUUCAAAUAAACAAUCAGCUCCGUUGGACUUGAUAUACACUAUUGAAAGUAUUCGAAAACUAAGUUUCAUAAUUUUUCGACAUCAUUUAGCUGUCUAACGAAUAGUCCAAAAAUGAACGACUGAAAAUAAAAAUUUCAUGAAAAAUAAUGAUAAAAAACUUAAAUUUAAGAUCAGAGAUAUUGAUGUUAUUCUAAAUAGUGAAAAAAAAAAAAAUCUAUACAAAUUUCAUCAAAUUUUAAUUGUUUUACACCGUUAGAUUUCCAAACGCAUCACAUUAACUAUUAAAAUUGUCAAUUUGAGACCUUUUAAUUACGAGCCAAAUAAUGUCGAAAAAUUAUGAUAUUUAGUUUCUAAAUACUUUCAAUAAUGUAGAUCAAGUUUAAUGGAACCGAUCGUCAAUUUAAAAACUGCAUCAUUGAAAACAAUUUAGUAACACGGAAACCUCCGUGUUGUCGAUAGCAUAGCAGUCUAGCUCAUAUUUGAACCAAAAUAGUGCAGCAUAAACAUUUCUUCAACUGAUGUGCCAACUAGAAACCACACUAGUAUUUUAGGCGGGAUCUGCAUGUUUUCACAGGUUAAAAACUCAACUGAUCAGUAAUUGCUGAAUCAAAUCUUCAAAGCUGACAGCGCUCGUCUUACUUUCUAGUUUGAGCUUUUCUUAGUACCAUAAAAUGGAAUUCAAAAGGAGAUUCCUAACAGGAAUCUAGUUUUGACUGAUAAGAUCAAGGAUCCCCUCUCCACCCCCAGACACAAAACUCUUAACCAAAAUUGCAAUGCGCAGAAUUCUCAACAUAAUUGCUAUGUCAUUUUGUUUUUCCUUCAAUAGUGCUCGGAAUGUUGCUUAGCAGUUGUUGACUAUGUUAACAAGCUUCAGGUACUCAAAUAGUUCUAAGAACAAACGUUCCAUAAUUUAACACAUUUUCGCUUUUCCACUAGCUUGGAAAGUUCAGCUUUAACCUCCUCCUGAUUUUAUUUUUAUUUCACUAUUAAGUACCUGUCGUUAAAUACAUUUACAAACCAUGGGAUCAUUAAGUCUAAUUUACAGGUGGGACUUCAUAGAAAAGAAAAAUAAAUAAAAAAAAAAAAAGAGAUAGCAGAGUAAAACUUUUUAAAUAGCAAAGUGGCAAAGUAAAAAUACUCUAAAUCAUUGGGGGCCAAAUUAAAGUUUCCCACAGUUCUAAGCGUUAAACUGUAGCAUAAACCUGGUGUAAUGUGCUUUAUGGACCUCUAUCCGACAUGCGCAAGAUUUGUUUUACUUUUCAAAGUUCAUGCCGUUGCAAUUUUUAAUUUUUUUUUUAAAAAAAAAUUAAUCACUAACGGAUGCAUGCACUAUAAUAACGAAUGAAGAAUAUUCUAGGCCUCCAAGGAACAUGUAACAUUACCUUCGUCUAAUUUCAACCUACAGAAUGAGUUGUAAGCCUCUUCCCUCUCAAAACUUUUCAAAAGUCUUUUUUACAACUAACGCAUGCCUUUUUGCUGACCAGGAACUAAUCAUGUAAAACUAAACAUCUUUCAAAAGCUUCGAUUGCAUUAUUGCAUACCAAGUUCUCCUCCAAAGGCUUCUCCCUCUGACAUAACACCAGCACUAAAUGCUUCAUUCUUUGAUCCUUUGUGAGAUUGUUUUCCUCUUUUUGUUGAAAUAUUGCUGAUACAGCACCACUGACACUCCUAGCUCAAAAUCAAUCAAGCAACAUCUGUUGAAAUGGCCUCAACCCAUUAAUGGCUCCCUAGACAACAAGGUUGAAGAAUGAGCUUUCCCUCUUGGCUCUGCAAAUCCUUCUUAGAUGGAUUUAACACCAGAAAAUUGUUCUUAUGCAGGACUCAGACCACCAACCAAAUCUAUGGUGAUUAGACUGCACGAUAACAGCUUAGCGAUGCCACGGCAAAUGGCCCCUUCUAACAUAUUUCAGUGCCGUAAAUGAACAGCAAACCUAGUUAUCAUACUCAAUAAAACAACAACUUGAUGCACCACGAUGUCCAACACCCAGAGAGAGGUAGCAGACUCCAAUCCCUUAAGAACGUAGGUCUCAUCAUCCUCCGAGCAAAUGAAGUUGAUCAAGGCUAUUUGCUUUUCUUUAGCAUUCCCCUGAAGGGGCUUCUACAGGCAACAACUAAGCCGCAAGAACCAAAAUCUGAAUGUAAGCCAAUCCCAAAGGUGUAAGUUUCACCCAGCUAUCACAACAAAAUCUCUUUUCCAAUCCAAAACAGAACAAACAAGUGAAAAUUUUCAAGCUCAAAAUUCUAGUUAAAUUCAAGAAGCCAAAGUGCUUUGGGGAGCACAUCCUUACACCAUACUAAGCAGUUACAUGAUCCAUGUGAUAGUGUAUUUUUGUUGCAGAAUCUGUCACCAACAAAAGAGAGAAAAAUCGUAGUAAAUUCUCAAAUAGUAUCUCUAUGCCAAUGUGCCCCACCAAGUUCUCCAUCAGAUCAAAAUGUAUGCUCCUCUCCAUAUCCAAAAUUUUGUUCUCAAAUAAUUCUUUCUUACAGUAAACAACUGCCUCGUUGGCACUGCUUUUUUAUCUUUUUAUGCCAGACUCUUACCAUAACAAGGAUAGAGAAAUCCAUCGCCUCGCAUAUUAAAUUGCAUAUAAUUUGACUUGAAGAUACAGAAGCGGCAAAUGAGGGCUAAGCGUGUCCGUCUGACGAAGGCCAACGAUGAAUUCAUUGCAUGCCCUCUUCACCUUCAGUCAGUUUGGACUAGAAACAUGUAAUGGUCCAUAGGAUGCAAUCACUGAAGCCUCAUUAUCCGAAGUCCCCAUUAGAGAAUUGAAAGGACUGCUGAUUUUGAGACGAUAUUUCUUGUUAUCAGGUACAUGUUCUUAGGAUGCAAUUAUUCAAGUCUCGAUAUCCUAAGUCCCCAUUAGAGGAUUGAAAGGACUGCUGCUUUUGAGAUGGUAUCUAUUUUUAUCAGGCACCCCAACUUUUUUUUUGCUUUCUUCUGCCGCCUCUGAGCACAGAACUUUAUGGGAACUUUGGUUAAAUUCAACUGUUGCAUUAACCUGCACAAGAGAGAAAAAGAUUAUUUAGAAAAGGACUACUGGAAGCAACAAUUUUUCCCUCAGCAGAAAAAACAGGAAACAAGCAUUACUCACACUAACAACUGAUAGAAGUGCAAAAAACAAACAGAAUACAAGCACAGCAAAUGCAACAAUGCUAAUCAUGUGGAGUGAAAACAAGAAGAUGUUAAGAUAAAAGCGAAAGUCGUAUCAUGCAAGGUGUUUUAGAGCUUUUCUCCAAAUAAAGACAUCACCCACAGCUUACAGAAGUCAGUAAAUGAUGACACUUAAUUACACAGCUCUCAGCAAAAAAUCUUUAAAAAAAAAAAAUCUCAUUCACAAAAGUAAAUUUUCUUUUCAUUCCCUUUCAACAUUUUAUGGCUCAGCUAUUGAUAUUCCAUACAGACAUAAAAACAUUAAGCAGCAAUCUCAUCAACAAAUCUUUCUUUAAUCAAAUACUACAAGCUUACCUACCAACCAAAGCAAAUCAUUUACUAGAGGUAUCUCUCUCAGUAACAGAUUACAAGUAGCGACUGCUAAUAUCCUUAUAAAAGAACAAACAGAGCAGCAAAAUCAUGCGAAAAUCUAUAUUUCCCACUAUGCCAGAAGCAGAAGCAUUUAACAAAAGCUGGAUGAAAAUCAGUCAUUCUCUUACCCAGUAUUGACCCCCAUGACCAGCAAUAUAAUGAUAUACUUAUGACUAUCAAUUCAAUCAAAUAAAUCCUACCCGCAAAUUCGACAUUCACACUUUACAACAAUAACAUGUUUAUAGUGCAGGGACAAUAUUUGCCAUGUUUAGUAGACAUGUAAAUCAUCUUCAGCUUCUUAACGGGAUACUCUAGAACAAUACAGCUAUCCAUAUGCAAUGUAAAAGAUCAUUAAAAGUAAAUCUGUUGAGCCAAAUCCCAAGCACACGGAGUAGGCACGCUCACUUCUCCAACAUCCACACUAAACAAAGCAUGCAAAAUAAUGGAUGGUAAUCUACAAUAAAGAUAUUUGCCCUCCUAAUCUGACUAGAGCAGGAUUUUUUGGAACUGAUCAACUUCCAUGUAAUGCCAUCCUCGUGAUAUUUGACUGGACUUUCUGGUCUUGCAAGGGUAAACCACUUAAAAGGCUGAAUACAAAUUGAAUAAUUAAAAAGCAACAUAGUUCUCUUCAGUGCACACCUUAUGGAAUCACCUUAAAAAUACAUUCCUAUAGCCAGCCAGCAAAUUAACUUCCCAUCAUCAAAAUCAAUAAUAUGAAAACCCACAAGAAGUAAAAUAUCACGGCCGCCAUCAUAACUACUAGAAAGCGUUGUCCAUAUUUGUUAAUUCACUACACUGCCUAAAAAUUCAUCACCAAAAGCUCCACUAUCAGCAUAUAGGGAAAUAUCAAAUAGAUAAACUGAUUAUUCUUGCCCAACUAAAUCUAGAUAGAAGCUGCAUCUUAUUGAAAUAUGAUGCACCCAAAAUAAUUAGCACCAAAGAAGCUUCCACCUCUCCUUUUUCCCUUUUCUGUUCUUUCCUUUCUAAUAAAAGGGUUAUAGAAAAGCCCCAUUAGACACUAUCUUCAUCAAUCUUAUUGAAAUAUGUCGCUCUAAUUCAAUUCAUAUGACAGAGCAACAGUUGUGUAAUUUUCAGAUUGAUGAAACCAUGGUCAGAUCCCUGAUUCACUGAAGAUCAGUCUUUGUAUGUGGCCCAUAAAAAUGUCACAAAAUGCACUCAAACUGACAUAUCAUCUACCAAACUCCUUAGAGGAAGAUUUAAUUGUUACCACAGAUGCAUGAACAAGAAAGAAACAGGAUCAUGAUGACUAAAGCUAACGUGUCAAUAUCAGCCUAGAUCAAGUGACAGUAAGAAAAGAGGCCACGAAUUGAUGUUUUAUGGUUGAUUGAACUUGAAUUUAAGGCCAUUAAUACGUAAGAUCCUAUUGCUCCUAUAACAGGAAUAUCCUAUUCUUAUUUAUUAGGACAAGGAAUCUAUGUAUGGACUACUACUGGACCGCCAGCUUUCUUGUUAAAAGAUGUUUGUAGAUCCUAAUCCUAUAUCGAAAAGUAAUCCAUAAGCACACAUACAGAGCACUCAUAUGUAAACACAAAAGGGGACAACAUCUAAUAUGAUUAUCUUGAACAAUGGAAGGAAAAUACUUGCCUUUUGGUACAAGCCAUCUCCACAUGAUCCGCAUCACUUGAAUAUCCCUGGACGAACUCUAACAAUGGUUCAGCAGACUGUAUAUCAUAGGGCAGGGUACAACGCAGCAUGUAGCUAUCACAAAUUGGUGCAAUACAAGCCUAAGAUGCUAAGAAUAUUCUCUCCAAAGAGAAAUAAUAGUCAUCAGCACUUAACGGCGGUUCCAUCAUAUUAUGAAAUACUAAAUACCACAUGCUAUACGAGAAAUCCAAGAGCUGCAAUUUCUGGCAGCUGCUACCACUGCAUAAGAGUUCACCAAAUUCAACUCGUCCAACAGGUGGCAACAAAGUUCAUCCAGGUAUAACAAAAAGGGCAUAAACUUCACAAAACCUGCUUUUUCAUGUAUACUGAUGCCUACCGUAAAAUGUAUAACCACUUGAAAGUCAGAAGUCCCUUUUAGGGACAAAAUCACCAAAUAUAUCAACGUCCUCCAACUAAUACUAUCAUCUAUGCUAUACCUAGUGACACCAUCCCCGUCAAAUAAAUAAGCCAAUCUUGUAUGCGUCCAGCUGAAGGACAGUGAAGCAAUAAUAUUAGCUCAUAGCGAAAGCACAGCAUGAAGUCUGCAAUCUUAACAUCACGACAAAACAAGUCCUGACUUGUCAAUUCUAGUCGUGCACACUGCAACUAAGUAACAAACCCAUAAAACUAACCUAAGGUUUCUGAAUUGUCAAUGACACAAGCAUCAAAGCCAAUGUAGCUAAGCAAGUAAAAUACCUACUCUAUCACUUUAUCUACAGCCACCAAAAAAUAUUCAUCGCUAAAUAAUAGCAUCAAGCCCAAUAGAUGGAUAUCUACAAAUAAUGCCUCAAAUAUCAGAUAUGCUCAUAUCGGUCAGCACAAUAUCCCAAAUGAAAUUUUAUAGCCAAUGCCAUCUUGAGGAACAAUUUCAAGUGUGCAAACGUAACAUCUUAUACUUCAACAUGUCACUAUCUUCAUUAUUCCCUCGCGACAAGGAAUAUGCCCAGUAUCCUCAACACGUCCACUUAUCCACCAUCUUAUUCCACUUGAAGAUAUAAUAUACAUAAGUAUAUAUGCCAAGCACUAAGAGAUUCCUUCACCAUAUUUGGAGCAACUAGAGCUCUAAAAUAACACAGAAAUGGCAAGAGAUCUAUACAACUUAAAACCAACUUAAUGCAACUCUGAACUUUCCUCUAUUUUAAGUAGUUAAAACGACACCACCUUGCCAUCUGCUAUUAAGACAGAGAGCCAUGCAUUACAGUUGAAAGAGCUUAAAUUUGAUAUGCUGCAUUACCAGCCCAUCGCCUAAAUAGAUUGUGCAUCCCAGGACCCAAACUCAAAUAAAGCUAACAUAGACAGAUUACAAGAGGGAAACAAGAAAGAUACAGACAAACAGGAUAACCCACUAUUAGUUGAUGCAAAUUAUAAUAAUAUCUUGUCUAAUUACUCACCAAGGUUUAGAUACGGAUCAAACUACCAUAGAUAUCACUGUUAGAUGGUUGAGAAAGAUAGGAAAAGAACAAAGAACUUACUCCAAAAAGUUAGGCCUAUACAGAAUGUACCAAUUUAAAAGAAACCUACAAUAAUUUUUCAUCACCAUUUCUAUGACAUACUCUACCAAAGACUUGCUAGCUUCAUCAAAAUAGGAUAAAAGUACAUCAAGCAAGCAAACCAUAAACUUCUAAUGGGAAAUCUUCAUUCAAUCACGUCUCAGAAGCUAUCUUACAUCGUAGAAAGCAAAUUUUCAGACUAACUUGUAAGUGUCAAAGAUCAAGUACCUACUUUAAGCACCAAGCAAAGUAUAAGGUUUGCAAGAACAUUUCUGACAUCAUCAUAUGCUAUUAACUAAGAUGAUAAAGCUGAAAAGAAGCAAUAGUUAAUUACAGUAUUAGUCUGAUAAUAAGUUUGCAAAUGAUAUGCUGCUCUUCAUUCAUGAUGACUGAAAGCAUCCUACCAAGUCGAAUCUGAUAGGCCGUGCGCCAGUAAAGAAGCUAUAUAGUCUUAACCUUAUAGAAAGACAGUCAGUAACAUAAAAGCCAUCCAAUUGCAUCACGAUGGACAAAUGCAACUGAAACCUCAACGACGUGCGAGGUGAGACUUGUCAAAUGCUCCCCAUGGACCAGGACCCGGACCAUACAUAGGAGCUUUCUCAGCAACACCCUAAUUGUCAAAAACCGAACCAUAAGUAGAGCAUAAAACUAAAAAUGACUUCAAUUCAUGACCUACAAAAACUGCUUAGAAGGAUACAUACUUGGUGAAGACUGUAACUAGCCCCAUAUGAAGAAGGAAAGGCACCUUCAGGGCUACCAAAGUUCAUCCCAUAUGGUCCACCUUAAACAGAAAGCAACAAGAAUAAUAUUAAAGUACCAGUCUGUAUUAUCAUAUAGCCAAAUGCCAUUGUGAAUGAACAUAUUAUGCCAAUAAGUAUGGGAGGGAGAAAAAAAAACAGAAAAAGAAAAAGGAAAAGAAAAGGACGUGCAUUGUACCAUAUUUCAUUCAACUGGACAAAUUUACAUAAAUAUGCAAAUGUAUUAAGAAAGAAAAGUAGAAAAAGCCAAAUGCAAAACCACUACUUGUGGUUUCAGUAGAGCUUUGAAUACCAAAACUCCAUUAUAUUGUAGACAAUCAGAGCAAUUUUGUUUUACAAAUGCAAGAUAGAUGAAUAAGUCUCAGGUACUCAUUUGCCAAACACAUGUGACAUUGCUCAACAGCUUCUACUACCCAACCAUCACAGCAAAAACAAAUGAUAUAUCAUGGUGUAACAUCUGCACUGCCUUCUCCGACCACAACAAUAUUAAAAACAGCAAUAACAGAGAAAAAGGGAAACAACUUGGAAGACAGGCAUAAUUAAAAUGAAGUAAGACACAAGGCAAACUAGGGAGAAAGGACCCCGAAGCCUAGGUAGAAAUAAUAGCACGCACCGGACAAAAGGAAGCACACAUUUUACAUAAUUUCCAGAAAAACAAAAUAUUCAUUAAAGACCUAUAUUAUCACUAUAAAUAAAUUACAAAUUCUGAAAUAUAACCAAGCUUUAAAGUGAAUUAUCACAACAAACUGUAGUUUAAAACUGAAUUACCACAAAUUUUAAAAAAUCAAUCCAAUAACGAGAGUUGAUUAGUGAAAAAUGUUAAAACCAUAGAUGGCACAAUUCGGCAUCUUCGCUAUAUAUGUUUAAAUAUCAAAAGCCCACAUUAAGGAUUUCAAAACUUUUUACUAAAUAAUCUGAUGGUCCAAAUGGAAAGAAUUUGCAUAAGCUAAGGCAAAUAUUAGAUUCUAGAUUAAUAGCAAGGUUUAAAGUGCCCAAGAAGGUGGCAUGGUACGGGGGGGAUCUCGGACCCCCCUCUGUGCCGUGGCACCGACCUGCGUAUCGCGUGAGACAGAGCAAUACACAAGUCCGUGCCACAGCACUAGUCCGUGCCUCGGCACUGUAUUUGUUUUUUUGUUUUUUGCCUUUUUUUUCUUUUUGUUUUGUUAUUUGGGAUACCACGAAGCAUCCCACACCCUCCAAGGAUAUUGCAAAUCAAAAGAUAUACUCGUUAGGUAAGUUUAAAAAAUUAUAAUUUAACUUUUUUAUUUAUCAAUAUACGGGCAAAUUUUUAAUUUACAUAUCCAAUCCAUACCGCAACGGGCGAAGCCCCCCGCACCCCCAUUAUCGGUCUGAGCCCUCCGCUUCCACCACAGACAUCCAUUUUUUUUCAUAAAUUAUUUUAUCAAAAUUUGUCACACCACAAAACUUUUGACGAAUUAAGGAAACAAAAUCGAACUCAAUAAACAAAGCUUAAUUUUUUUGAUAGAUCUAAUAAUUUUUUGAAAAAAUUAAUUAAAAAAUAUUUUUUAAAAUACUUUUUAAAAUAAUUUUUUCAAAUAAUUUUUAAAAUUAUUUUAAAAAUUAUAUUUUUAUAUUUUGUAAAACAAAAAAUAUAAUAUGGUCAAAAAAAAGAAAGAAAGAUACCUUUGCAUUUUUAAAAUUCUAACCUGUAAAAAUUUUUAUUCUGUAUCAGAUAUAGUUGUACUUUACAUAUAAAAAAACUUACAAAUAUGUUAAUUAAUAAGUAUAGUAAAUUAUACAUAGCAAAUAUUUAUAAUUAUUUGAUUAAAUCUUUCAAAAUAACAUUAUAAGGGCUUAUUGGAAGUAAAAACUAAAAUAAGUUCGUACCAAAGCGUGCCAGUAGAAGGUCAUACGUAUCCAUCGGCACGUAAGCAUACCAUGUGUCGGCACGCAAGUGUGCCGGUGCCGUACCGUGCCAGGCAGACAGCGGCACAUCCCCAUGCCACGGCACUUUAAACCUUGAUUAAUAGUACAUAAAUUUAGACAAAUGGUCCAAAUGGAAGCGUUAGACAUAGCAAUUACCUGCAGCCCAUGGUCUCCCUUCAGAAUUUGCUAACUCAGCCCGCAGCUUUUCAAUUUCACGAGCCAUAGAAACCAAAUUUUUCUCCAUUGCUUGCCUUUGAUCCAUCAGCUCAAAGUUUCCUUUUUUCUCAUACUCAACAGCAGUUCUGCCAAGAAACAACUAUAGGAUUAAGAGUUUGUAUGCUUUUGCACCACUCUGCACAGGCAAGAGAGGUCUUUCAAACAAAAGAACUAGAAAGGAAGUAUUUGUUUGGCAUGUAAAAAUUUCAAUCUGAAUACAGGGUAGAGCGUAACCUAGCACGCAUAAGCUCUUCACGAAGCCCAUCAAUUUCACCCCUCAAAAUAGAUAUUUGCUGAUUAUCAGCUUGUGCCCUGGUCAAUUCUUGAGUGAGAGUCUGAAUCUUCACGUUAAGUUCUUGUUUCAUAGCAAUCUGCUUCUCAAUUUCUGCACGAAGAUGUACUACCUCAUUCCUUAAAGGUUCAGUUGCUCUAAGAUCAGCUUCAAGCUUCAAGCCUUUCUCGAUCAACUCUCGGAUAUGAGAUUCCUUCUCAGCACGAAAGUCUGCCAUAAUCAUGUUCAGGCGAUGAAUCUCCUCUUUGCCAGCUGCAAUCUCCCUUUGCAAAGCUAAACGAUCUUCAACUAGAGCAUGGUGGUCGGCCAUAAGUCUCCGGAUCUCAAUCUGCUGUAACUCAAACUCUUCCUCUAGAAGAGCAGGGUGAGGUCUGGGGGGAGGACCACGAAAGUAAGGACCUUCCUGAAAGUCAGGAUAAGGUCGCCGUCCAUCGGCAAUGUGACGAGGUACACGGCCUCUCCCUGACAUCUUUCUUUAUGCUGAAAAAAUUUGAUCAUUUUAAGCAUCGUUUGUAGAGUCAAGAUAGACUGAAAGAUUUACAUGUAAAUAUAACUUAACAGGUUGUAGAUGAAAGACUGCAUACGUUACCAUCUGCAAACUUCCGAAAACAAAAAUAAUAAACACUACGCAAGGUUGAUAGUUGCUGUGUUGCAAGAUGGAGUAAUGCAUUAGCUGAAAGAAGUAAGGAAAUACCAUUGAUAGAAGUAAUCAAUGGUAAAUCCUCUUUAACAAUAAUUAACUAUACCCUGUUAUAAGGAUAAUAUUACAGCUUUCUCUCUAAUGAUAAGACAACUUACUUCGAAGCAACAGUUUACAAACAUCAUAAGCUUAUUUAUUACAAUCUCCUGUUUAUCAUAAAUUAUAAAAUUGUAGGUGAUAUGGUAACUUAUUACUUUGACAUGAUUAACUCAACAGCUAUGUUCCAUUGCCGACCACAAGGUACAGCUACUCCUAUGUAUCCAACUCUUAUGUAUUAGGCUAUUAUCAGAAUUUGAGAGCCGAUGGCUAAAAUUAAAUAUUUAUGCAUCAUAACCCUGGAGAAAAUCAAAGAGAUGUCAUAGUGAUGUGAUACAACUAGCCAUUAAGAUAAUAGUGGGAAUGAAAAUAGUAAGAUGGGACAUUAAGACCAUAUGCAACAAGAUACAGGAAUUACAAUAUUUAACCUUUGUAUUCUGAAAAAGUGGCUAAUAUAAUUGUAUUAAAACACAUCAAGUUGUAAAACUUACAUUUUUCAGAGUAUACUUCGUGCAAUGCUAAACGUUGACUCUGAUUUGGAUUUAUAACUUCUUAGUGACAGUUAUGUUACCUGGAUUAUUGCAUCCCUAUUUCUUAUACUAUUUAUUAAAAAAAAAAAAACUAUUUAUUGAGUGGCGACUGUUUUAUUUCUACCUGAACUUUUAUACAUAUUUCUUUAAACUCAAAUUACUUGAACUAGAAUCUUGAAACUUGGUAUAUCUUGAAGAUCUUGGCACCGCCAAAUAUCAUUAAUUUGGAAGUUGAAAUUGUAAAUUUUCAUAAAAUAAAGAUAUAUGUUACCUGUGUAUAUUGUGUAUGGGAAGGGACCAGUUGCAAGUCACUUGCAUGAAGAGUUAAUUUAUGCUGCUGUUACUAGAAUUUUGCCCAUUACAGUUCUCUUUUCUGGUAGAAAAAGAGCAUGAAGUUUAUUUCAGUAAUAUUUAUCAUUCUACUGAAUACCAAGCAGGUUAUGGAUAAGUUUUCCCAAAUAAAAAUUUCAUUUCAUUUGAAAUAUGUGACAAUUACCCUUCUCUUCCUUCUCUUUCUCUAUCGUUUUCCAACUACAACCAUCAAUUUUCUUCUAAAAUGCGGAAGGCAAUCUUCACGGGGUAAACCCGCCAUAGCAAUUUGCAAAUGUGCAAAAUGCGAAUGCGCAUCUGUUUAACUAUCUGAAAACAUAUAUAAUUAUAAAAAAUAUAUAUAUAUAUUAAUAUGCAUGUUAAAAUGAAGUACAAAGAAACACAAUAACAAAUACCCAUCAAUAGAUUGUAAAACUGCAAUACAGAAAUUACAAUAACACUAUCAAUAAAUAACCAAAUCAACUCAUGCAAAGAGUCAAACAACUCAUUAACAGUCAACUACUAUAUAAAAAAAAAUACAUAUGGCUUUCCAUAAUUAACAGCCCAACUAUUGAAAUUUCACACAAUCAAGACUUAAUAAACUUACUAACAGCCAAAACCCAUCCUCACAAAAAAAGAAAAGGGAAAAAAAUCCAGUAAAGAACAAUCGUUAAACUAGUAACAUAAUCAACAUCUAAUUAGCAUGAUGGUGGUAAUGGUGGUGGUGGUGGAGAGAGGGGGAGAGAGAGAGAGAGAGAGAGAGAGAGAGAGAGAGAGAGAGAAAGAGGGGGGCGUACAUGUCGCACCUGCAACCGGUCGCCGGAACACUCCGCCGCUCACCGGAAUCCUCCGCCGCCGCCGAGGCCGAUCAAUCGCCGCGUGUAGUCGCCGAGCACAAGGAGGGAUGGAGAGAUCGGGGAGAGGAACUGCGUCCGAGUAGGGUUGCGGGAGAGCUUAGGGCUUCUGAUUUUCGGGUUUUAUUCCACUAGUACCUCAACCCGUUUCAUUAUUGUUUUUUAUUGUCCGCAUCCCGCUCCAUGAUCCGUCGACAUCUGCAUCGGACCCGAAAUUGCAGACCCAUUGUGCAUAUACUAGUAUAGGAUAGGAUCCAUACUAUGCGACGGAUAUGUAGUAUUUUAAAUAAUUAUAUUAGUUAUUAAAAUUUUAAAAUUAAAAAGUUAUAAUUAAAAAAAUAUUAUAAAAUUAUAAAAUAGUUUUCUGAACAUUAUAAAAAAAUUAUUUUCUUUAUUAAUAUUUUCUUAACUUUCAACAUUCAUAAAGUUAAAUUAUACUAAUAAUUUUAUUAAAAUUUAAUCAAAUUUUUAGUUUUGAUAGUUAUUUUAUAAAUAAAUUUUUUAAAUAAAAAAUUAAAGUGGGAGGACUUUUUUCAAAUUAAAGAAUAAGUGAGGGUUUUCUUUGCCAUGUUAAAAUUGAUGGGAUAAAGAGAAACUAUUAUAUACACCUAGUGUAUAUUAAUAUUCUAUAUACCACAACUUAUAUCAAAUUAUUAAUAUUCUAAUAUAAAAAUUUAAUUAAAUAUAUACGAUUCUACAAAGUUUAAUAAUUUAAAUUAUGUUUGUUAAAUUAAUUUUAAAAUCUCUAGUAAAGGAUUUUAGGCAUGUGGUGCAUGUAUAAAUAUACACUUAGUGUAGAGAAUAUUUAAUAAGGCGCACUCAUAAUUCCAGGAGAGGCGAAAUUUUUGUUUUCUCCUGAUACGUACCAAUGCUCCAUACACCGCACAUAAUACUAGAUGAUUAACAAAAUAUUUGAUAAUUAAUAUUAUAAAAUAAAAUAAAAUAAAAUAUAUGUAAUAUAAAAUAUUUAAAUAAUUUAAUAUACUGUAGAAAUUUAUCUUUAAUGCAUAUUUUAAAGCCGGUCUACAGUGCAAUGGACGAGUCCAAAAUUUUUAUUGGGUAUGUUGCAACCUCCCAUUUGUUUAUUCCUCAAAUAGCUACGUGACUCUCUAACGAACUAUUAUCUUGAUAUGACCGAACCAUCAAAUAGUAUUUAUAUAUAUAUAGAUAGAUAAAUAAAUUGAGUUACAUUAUGUGGCUAUGCGGCCUAUCUGCACAAUACACGUGAUUAUAAGAAAAAUCGAUAAUAUUUGUAUCUACGACCAUAUCAAUGCUAUACAUAAAAAUAUUGUUUUAAAUUUGCAUUUAUCAACAGACUCAUUUUUUGAUAAUUUUUUUUUAAAAUUUCUUUCUUUUUUUCAUGCAAAAUAAAUAAUAAAACGACAUAAGCUUUAAAUUCUCAUUUUUCUCUAAUGAAUAGGCUUUUUCUUUUUUAUUAUAUAUUUCUAUAUCAUUCCAUAUAUUUUCUUUUACAAUGAAUAUUUUCAUAUUUUCUCAAUAUUAUCUACUAAUGUUUACUUUUUAUAUUAACUUUUUAUUGAUUGUCGAAUUUGAAUUUAAUGUCAAAUAUAUAUUUAAAUUUUAAUCUUAUAUAAUUUAAAAUUAAAUUUUAAAUUUUUAAAUUAAAAUUAAAAAUUGAGUUUAAAUCAUGAAUUAAAAUUUAUUUUAGAUAUCAAAUUUGAAUUAACAAUUGAAAAAAGUAUAAUUAAAGUAUAUCAAAAUUAAAUUUUAGUUUUUGAAUUAAAUGUGAAUUAAAAUUUUUGAUACUUUUAGUUUAAAAUACAUACUUAAAUUUUAGAUUUGUUAGAAUUCAAAAAAUAUACAAAUAUAUUCAAUAUAUAUUUAAAAAACAAGUAGAACUAUAGAAUGUGGCAAGUAUUUUUUAAUAAAAUAUAGCAAGAUAAAUUUUUUUUUAUAAUUUAAAUUUUUGUUAUAAAUUUUUGGAUAAAUAGGCUACACAAACAAAUAUUGAUUUGAGAUAACUAGUGUGUGUGUGUGUGGUUUUUCAAUUUUUUAUAUGUUGAAAUAUCUUGAAAGAAAUACUAUAUUCGAAUAAAUGCGACAAAAUAUACUAUUUAACCAUAUUACAUAUGCCAAUAUCUCUCAAAGAGUAAAAUCAACUUCCAUGGUUGUAGUUACAAAAAAAAUCCUCACUAACAUAUCUAUUAUAAUUAUAUAACAUAUUCUAAUGUCCAAACAUGACCAUAAUAUUUUGGAGAUUUGUAUGAUCAAAAAAUAAGUCUAGAUUUCGACCGUAUCUAGCGUAACUGGCUAAGGAUUUGAUAAUUGAUGCCUGAGAUUUCAAGUUCAAGACUUUAUUAAUUCAUAUUUCUAUCGAAGUUCAUUUAUCUCUCUCUAUCUCUCUCUCUCUCCUCCCCCCUCUUAUUAUAAUAUUACCAAGUUUUAUUUCUAUUCUUCUACUAGUGAAGAACUGCACGUUGCGGCAGGAUGAUUUCGUAAAAAGAAAUAAGUAAAUAAAUAAAUAAAAUAAAGAAAGUAAAAGAAAGAGUCAAAGAAUUAUAUAAAAAAAGAAGCAACUGAAGAAUAAGAAACUAUUGCUGCAACAAAAAUAUCUAAAAAAAAUAAGAACAAAAACCAUACGAAUUUGCUAUCCUGACUAUUAAAAAAUAGUAUUGAUCUAUGCAAUAAAAUUGUAUAUUUAUUUGUUAUAUUGACUAUUAAAAAAUAGAAUUGAUCCAUACAAUAAAAUUUUACAUUUGAUGUAGGCAAAAAAUUUUAAAAAAAAUAUUAAGAAAAAAUAUAAAAAAAGAAAGUAAGAGAGAAAGGGAGAGAGAGGGAGAGUGUUGAGAGAAAAAAAAAAAAAAAACAAAAGAAAAAAANCGGUUUCUUCUGAGGCCCUGGCUACCUCACCUGUGUAGCCUAGUUCAUCCAUCCAAUGAAUGAAACUGGUAGCACGCUACCUAUUCAAAAAAAAAAAAGGUGGGCCCCCCCCCUCUCCCCAAACACGGGGAGAGUCUCUUUAGGCUCUCCUUUCAUUAGUGUUAUAGAUUAUCUCUCCCUAUCUCUCUGUCUCUAUUUCUCUAUGUUUGUGUAAUGUACUAAACUUUCGAAAAUAGAAGAGUUCUAAUAAGAAUAGCAAUGGAGACUAUUUAGAUAGCUCCAAUAGUGUUUGGGGAGUAUUACAGUGUUUUCGGUAAGAAAAAAAUUUUGGAGUGUCAAAUCUGCAAAACUGCAGAUUUUCACUUGGUAUCAAUACUGGAAUGGAGUAUCGGUACCCAGCUAUGUGGAGUUUGGAAAAACUUUCGAGUUUUGCGAAAUUCUCCUUAAGUAGCGACACUAAUUUGUGGAAUAUUGGUACUAAUUCGGGCGAGUAACGGUGCAUAAUAGAAAACAGAGAAAAUAAAUAUUUGAAUUCUACGAAACUAGCCUGGAGUAUCGAAACUUUUGAGUUGCAUACCGAUACUGGAACCUGAGUACCAGUAUUCAACUUUGCGAACAGCAGGUUAUGGAUGGUUGUUAUUAUGGUUGAUUGGAAGGUUUUUUUGCAAUUGCAGUGCCUCUACAUAAACCCAUAUUACAGCCAAAAUUUCUAAUUUUCAAUUUUCCUCUCUCUCACUCCCCUUCUCUUCUUUCUCCCUCUAAAAGAGGAGAAACCUUAGCUUGUCCAUUUGUUGGAGCUCCUUAAUCUAUCACAUUGGAGGCUUAUAGGAGAACUAGGGCACCAAAGGGAAGCUUUGUGAGGGAGAACGCAAUCAUCUCUACCCAUUAUUUUUUCUCAUUUGGAAGAAGAGGAGAGGAGUUGAUGUUUUUAGAUCUUAUUUAAGGGUUUUUCUCACAAAUGAGAGAUUUUUUAGGUUUAACUUUAUUAGAACUAUUUUUAGGAUUUUCUUGAUGUUUUAAGAAGAUCAAGACCGUCUCUUUAAAGGAGAUCCAAAACAAGGUAGAGAAUAUCAUCGAUAUGGAUUCGAUUUACUCUUUGUCUAAAGGUUUUUUUUUUUCUAUUAGCAUAUAUUAUAGGUAACAAGUAAUCUAAUUGUACUUUAGUUACAUGCUAGGAGAUCUAGUGGAUCAAGAUGAUAUAUGAAGAUUUGAACUAGGGCAAAAGAGUAUUUUGAGCCCUUUAUAUAUUAAGAGGUAAUAAUCUAUCUUCUAUUCCUUAUCAUUAUUUCUUUUAAACUUACCUCGUGGCAGCAUACCCUUUCUUUGCUAGAACCGAACAGGAUUUAUUGAGUGUAGGCAUCAACCCGAACCGGCUCAAGUCCUUUACAUGUUUCUAUAUUUUUUUUCCUUAAACUAAACCGGAUUGUUUAGUGUGGGUGCCAACCCGAACUAGCUCAAAUCCUCUUAUGUAUUUCUAUCUUUCUUUCUUUUCAUUAUUUCUCUUAAACUUGCCACGUGGCAGUAUAUUCUUUCUUUGCUUGAACCAAACCAGAUUUGUUGAGUGUGGGCACCAACCCGAACCGGCUCAAGUCCUUUACAUGUUUCUAUCUUUUUUUUUCUUAAACCGAACCGGAUUAUUUAGUGGGUGCCAACCCGAACCGGCUCAAGCCCUCUAUGUAUUUUUAUCUUUCUUUGAUUGAACUAGGUUAAUGUGCCCGAACCAACUCAAGUUUUUCUCUUUUUUUGUUUGAACCAAACAAGGUUCCCUCUUCUUUGCUUGGAUCGAACUAGGUUCCCUCUUUCUUAUUUUUGAGCCAAACCGGGUGAACCUGCUCGAACCGGCCCAAUAUUUGUUUUCUUUGCUUGAACCUACCCUGGUUCACUCUUUCCUUGCAUGAACCAAACCGGGUCAAACCUUUCCUCUUCCUUGGGCUAUUACGUUCCAGCCGAACCAUCCCUCUUCCUCUUUCUUAGGCACGAUGGAUUCUUUUCAUUGCCGCCACUUCUUCUAUCGUCAUUUCUUCUUCCGUUCUAGCUAUUUGUGGUGCCGGAAUCAAACGAUAGAUUUCUCCCUUUACCACUGCUUCUUCCAUCGUCUUUUCAUCUUCCUUCGUCGCCGUUUUCUAUUUUGGAUUAAUCCACCAUGGGUGGAGCGUUUCGCAGCAGCGCUUCCUAUACCCUAACACCUGUCCAUUCAGCUAUACAAUAACACAUCUAACAUCUAUUUUUUCCUGAACCCCAUCCUUUUUCUCUUGUAAGCUAUAAAAUUUUUAUACUAUUUCUAUUUUUUAAUUUUAUCUACCCGUAAUCCUAGCUGACAUUGUAACGACCCAGCCAUAUGUAAGAGAAAGAAUAUAUGUAUAUGCAUAUUGGGUAUUAUCAGAACCUUGUUGUAUAGGUGAAACAAGUGGCAUUUAACCUAGGUUGGAACCUAAAGUGUGAAACAUAGUAAUAUAUAAACUCUAGGUGAAACUCGAGUUAGAUAACAAGUGUAUGCGCAAUGGACAUUGAGGAUAACCUAGAAAUUAUGUGAACUUAGGGUGUAACCUUCACAUAGGACGUGACAUUCCGAAAGUGUUAAACUGGGAGAUGUCGAUUACCUUCAACUUCUACCACACUUGGUGAUGCCAAUAGUCUUUCGACGUCAAGUGCUUAUGGAAUAAAGGGAUGUCGAUGAUCUCUUGACUCUCCAUAAGGUACCAAUUGGAGGGAUACUGACAAUUUCGACUCUCCAUGAGGUGUUUUGUAAAAAAGGACUAAGCUAAAGGUUAGUAUAAAACAAGAGAUCUUGGAGUAAAUUUGUAACCAAUGACAUGGUAGCAUGGUGGUUGUAUUUUCACUACUUGCAUUUCUAUUGUAAAAAAUAGAUAUUUUGUCAUGCUUCGGGGUUUUUUUGGAAAGUCCUUUUUAGGAAAACUAGUAGAAAACGUGUAAAUUUUUAAAAAAAAACACCUUUGAGAAUACCCCUCAAACGUACACAGACCCGCCGUACAUGAACAAAAGAAUAUUUCCUGUACAAACAGACAGAGUCUCCCCUGUACAUGCAUGGCAUAGCACCAUAGUACAAGAUCAAGUACACAUACAACCUUACAACACAACAUCUAAUGCUCAUUAAACAAUAAUAAUCACAUCUAUCCAUUAAUAUAAAUACAUUAACAGGUGAGAACUAAACUAAUCCAAUAGACAUGAAAAGCUAAACCAAAAAUUAAAAAAAAGGGUUAGUGAGGACCAAACAGGAACUCGGCUAUCUAGUAUUGUCCUCAUGCACCGUCCCAACUCUUAUUGCCCGCGUCACCUGAAAAAUGGUGGGGUGAGAACAUGUAAACAUGUAAGGACUGAGAUUUUUGACAGUGCAACUAAACUCUCUGUUGAUGAUGUUUAUGUGUGUAAUUUAAUUACAUAAGCACUCGUCAAGUUUCAGGAGAAACUGAGCUAAAAUGGAGAAGAUACGCGAUUUUUAGUUUUCACUUAAGUGAAUAGUAACUCCGGUUUUCCGGAGAAGCCACGGAGUAGAGUUGGCUUCUGGUGCGUAUCGGACUCCGUUCAUAUCAGUCCAAUAGCUCGUUUCGACCGGUUCAGCUGUUCUGGAACUAGUGGCGCUGAUGGAUUUUGAGUUUGACGCACGGAUUUCGAGAAAAUCCAAAAAUACAUGUUUUAUAUGUAUUUGUGUGUGUGUUUCCUUCUAUUGGAAGAAGGUUGGAUUUUGUUGUGAAUCCGUGGUCGAUCGAGAUGAAUCGAAAGUGUAGCUUUGUUGUCUCCGAGGUGCUGAUCGCACUGGUGCAAUCCGUUCGCAAAUCUGACGGACGGAUCUGCGGAGAUCGCGCGUUGAUCGAGGAGAGGUCGGUGAUGGCAAAACGGUAAUUUCGCAAAAGUUGCGACAUUUUAUGUACCGUUUCGCGUGAAAUCGCACGUGGAGGGGUUUAUGCACGUUUUAUUCGUGCGGUGAGGGACUAAGAUUAAAUGGUUGAGUCUUGGAGGACUUUUCGGCAAAAUUACACUUACAUUUAUAAGUUGAUGUUAGAUUUUUUUGCUUGGAAACCCUAACCCUAGGUCGUUCCUGCUAGCCCUAGUCCACCAGCCGCCUCAGCCAUCUCCUGCCCUCCCCGUGCGCAUGCUCCGGCCGCCGGCGAGCUCCUCCGGCCGCCGGAAAUCCCUGCAUCACCUCUCUCUCUCUCCCUUUUGGCCAACCCCUUCACCGCAUUGUGGUUUGCGGACCCUGGUAGCCACCUAGCUCGAGCACCUUUGUCCCCUGGCCGUGGCCCAGCCUUCGGCGACUCCCCUCGUCGCCGCCGUCGUCCCUGCGCACGGCGCCGGAGCCGCCCCAGCUCUCUGCGGCCACAUGCAUGCACCCAGGCCGAGCUUGGGUCAUCUUUGCAUUCGCGCGCCGCCACCGCUCCCUAUCGGCCGCGCCGCCCUCUGGCGACCUCCGGCGACCUCGCGCGCGCCUCCCCGCUGUCCCCGCACACCGCCGACCGCCACCCGAGCUCUCUGCGGUCGUCCCGAGCGCGUGCGGGCCCUGCUUGGACCAGUACGGCCUUCGAGGGCCGCCGCCGCCCACCGUCAGGAGCACCACCUCCUCCUCGACCUNGAGCCCAAGACCUCGAAGGGACUCGUGUCGUUGCUCUUCCACUGUUCAACCUCGGCUUCACCUCUCGGCUCCCCUCCAGUCCCACCGAAAAGGCCGCCGCCCUCGUCGCGCGGCAGCCGGCCCCGCACGCGUGCUCUACCCGUCCCCCUUCGAUCACUACCGAUCCCAACCACCCAUCGACCCACCUGAGCCCAAUCCCAAAGGAAACACUUUGGGAUCGUGAAUACAUACAUAUAUAUAUCCACUUUUUAGCGUUCUUCCAGGAGGGUCUCGAAUUAUAUGAAUCGAUUCAGGGACGGUUACACACGCAAAGCGCGUAUACAUGGAGGUACAAGCUUAAGUGCGUUAAGCUAUGUAUUUUAUAAUCCAGAAAACACUUUUAUAGUAAAACGCUAGUGGCUGGAGAGGAGCUUGUUGCGCACUAAAAGCGUCUAGGCAGGCAUUCUAAACGCUUGCCUAACGUGGUCACGCUAGUCGUGCUGCCUCUGUUGUUUAGAUGCUAAAACCAAGUGGAGCUAGCUGGUGCCUAAGCGCUGCUUUAGGUUGGAAAGUAAGGUUGUCUUACUUAUUGUGUAUUUAUGUAUAUUUUGUACAUAAAAACCUAAAAGAGUUUUAGGCACGUAGUUUGAGUUUUAGGCAGUCGCGGUCAUCAAGGUCUUAUCGACUUGGCCAGCUUUGCUCGAUAACCUAGCGAUACUUGCCUCAGGCUAUGCGCAUCUCUCGGUUGAGAUGAGGCACCGAAGUGGCUUUUUGGCCUCAAUCAUAAGUGAAUUCACUUUUGAUUAUUAGCGCAUUGAAGAGGCAAAAUCGAGUAAAAGAGGACUUUGAACUGCUCACGAAUAUAUCAAUUUAAUGUGUGUAUUUAUAGUAGUUGUCUCUCAAAUCAUCGUGACAUUUUUAGAGUCAGGAAUGUUAUUGAAAAAUAAAAAAAAAUGAUAAUGAUGAUAAAAAAAAGAAGAAGAAAGAAGGGUUAAAAAACCCCAAAAAAACAUCACCGGCUCCGUGUUUUACUUGAAGGAUCCAAUUUUUUUAUAUACAAAAAAGAAUAUAAAAAUAAAAAAAAUAAGAAAGAAGAAUAUAAAUAGGUGACUAUCGUAAUGAAAAGUGCUGGCGUGGGGGAAGGAUCGGGAGACGGGGGUGGCGAGGACGGAAACGUAGCUACGCGAGAGGGAGGAACAAUAGGGGUUUAGGACGCCGUGAGAAGAACACCGGCAGCGGCAGGUGUAGACGCAAGAGAAAACAUCGGAAUGGAGGUCUUAAACACGGUUCAGGAUCGGUCGCAGUGACGGUGGCCGCACCUACCUCCACACGUUCGCCACCCUCUCUCCUCGUACUGUAGCUGCACCCCCGGCGUCACCUCCUCCUCCUCCUCCCUCUCUUUCGCCUUCUUUUUUUUUCCUUUUUUUUUGAUGCUCCUCUUUCCUCUGCUUCUCCUGCCUCUUUUUUCUUACUCUCUCUUUCCUCUUUCUUUCUCCUUAUGCUCAUCAAGCUAGUUCUCAUAAAACCAGUCAAAUGAUUUUUAAGUUUAGAUUAUAAGUUUUAAGUUUUUUCACCAGACUAAAACGUUUUUACGAUUUCAUCACUUAAAAAAAAAAAAUACGUUUAAUCGGUUAGAAAAAACUCUAAAAUUAUAAUUUUAUUCAAUUAUUCUGACAUGACUAUCAGAAACUUACUCAUUACACAUUCUAAAUAUAGUAUAUUAUCGAUAUAACUACCGUAGUGAGUUCGCUCUUGUUAGUCAUUUGGUUUUCCCCUCAAUGAAACACGCAUAUUUUAUCCAUAAUGAUAAUGUAUAGAUGGCAUUUCACCUUUUGAUAGAUUAUUACUCUAAUCAAUUUACUACUCUUUUUUUUUAGGUUUGUAAAAGAGAAAAUCUAAUAAGUACCUAAAAAACGUUUAUUUAGUGAAGUUUAACGAUUUAAUAUACAAAUGAGGUGAUUUAUAUAUGAUCAUAUUUUACAGGAAUAUCGUAGUCAUUUGUUUAAACAUAUGAAUACGGAAUCUACAAGGAUUCAUCUACGAGCCCGAAACCAUGUUUAAUCCUGUUCAUCGACUACAAAAAACAAAACUCUAAUCCCGUUUAAUUCAAUAGGUAACGUCAAGAGAUAACGUUAUGUUGAGGACCGGUGACCUACGUAUCAGACUCUAUUUACCGAUCUUUGGUACAGAAAACACUUUUUUUUUGGAUUAAUUUGCGACAAAUAAAAUAACAUUUACCUCCCUUAACAACAUUGUUUUCAAUAAAAUAUCUUCAGUGAUUAAUAUAGUAAGAGUAAACGAACAAACAAACAAAGGUCCAGUGAUGUUUCUUUAGGAUUUAAAUGAAUGGUGUCAAUUAGGAAGAUUAUAAUGUAAUUAAUCAAAUAGAACUAAUAUUAAGUUGAAUUCACUGACGUUUCAAUAACUCCCACUUCAAUGAAUACGGACUGAUUACCUACUUCUUAGUAACUUGAAAUUUUCGUACGUUCCUAUUUUCGUGUCAUUUGACGUGACAAUCGGGGAUUUGAUAAAAAAACUCAAAACCCAAAAUUCAUUACUUUACGGAACAAAUUAUCUAAUUCAUGACCAAGAUUAAAUCAGGAUUAAACUUAAACUUAAUACCUGUAUCGUAAGACCUGAACUAGUUAAAAGUGAAAGGAGAUUUUCAAAGUUAAAACAACGUAAUUUACCGAAUCUGAAAAUUUGGCAGAGUUAAAAUCUAAGCGAUAGUUACGUAGUAGGUAUCGCCACUUUUAAAUUUCGCCGUAUAGUUCACCGAUAAGGAUUCAAACUAUUAAUACGCGUACAUUCGUCUUUUUAAAGAUGGUAUUUUCGGUAUUUUACAUUCUUACCGUUUGAAAUGGCAAAAACUUAAAGAUGUUAUUAUCAGAAAUGUGGAUCACUCUUCAGAUCCUUAUGACUAAACCAUCGUUUGAAAGUAGAAGCACCAACUGCUUUCAACUACUACCCCGAUGAUAACUUUUUAAAAUAUUAAAGUUCUAGAUAUUACAUUGGCGAUCUACACGAACUUUAAACCAAUAGCUUAAGCUGAACUACGAGAACUGAGCGGCUGUCGAAACAACAAAAAAAAAAAGGGAUGUUUUUUAAAAAGUGCAUUUAAGAACUCAAGAUAAAAAAAAAAAAAAAAAAAAAAAAAAAAAAAAAAAAAAAAAAAAAAAAAAAAAAAAAAAAAAAAAAAAAAAAAAAAAAAAAAAAAAAAAAAAAAAAAAAAAAAAAAAAAAAAAAAAAAAAAAAAAAAAAAAAAAAAAAAAAAAAAAAAAAAAAAAAAAAAAAAAAAAAAAAAAAAAAAAAAAAAAAAAAAAAAAAAAAAAAAAAAAAAAAAAAAAAAAAAAAAAAAAAAAAAAAAAAAAAAAAAAAAAAAAAAAAAAAAAAAAAAAAAAAAAAAAAAAAAAAAAAAAAAAAAAAAAAAAAAAAAAAAAAAAAAAAAAAAAAAAAAAAAAAAAAAAAAAAAAAAAAAAAAAAAAAAAAAAAAAAAAAAAAAAAAAAAAAAAAAAAAAAAAAAAAAAAAAAAAUGAUAAAACACCAAAUAAAUGAAACACUAGUAGUACAAAAAAUAAAAACAAAUACGUGAGCAGCAUUAUCAUUGACAACCGUAAGCCAAUUUAGCUUAGUCCAUGCGGGUAUUCCCCAAGCUAGGCUGCCUAUAAUACAAUAGAUUAACCUAAUCCUAAUUAGAGCGAAAGUUUAACCUUUCGAUUAAUCUCUAUUUAGAUUAGUAUAAUCCUAUUGUUUAUUAUUAGCUAAACCGGAAUAGAGAUUGCGAUAAUCCUAAAACCUUAAAGAAUAUUUAUCUGCCCGCUAGGGUGUACUUUGCUACAUGUUUUUUUCUUGCCUUUUUUUCUCUCUUAUUCUUUUGUUUUCCUCUAUAUGGUGUAGGAGGUAAUUGGAUAAUAAGAUUCUCCCUGAACUUGCCACCUAAACACUAGCACGGGCAAACAUCAAGCUAGGUGGCGCUCAAACCUCGCAAAUCUUCUGGAUGUUCCUGCUAGGUUCCUGUGCACUUCACCAUCCCCUGGCCGAGACCCAUCUCCGGCAUCUUCCCUACCGACUCCGGCCAUCCCCAUGCCCUGCCGAAGCCCCACGAGUCCCCUGCGGCCAUCUGCGGUCAGCCCAGGCCGAGCUUGGGUGACCUCGGUCUAGGCGCGCCACCGUUGCUCCCCAUCGGCCGCGCCGCCUUCCGGUGACCCCCGACAACCUCCCGCUUGCCGUCCCGCCGUCCCUGCACGCUGCCGGCCGCCGCUAGAACCUCCUGCGGCCGCCCAGACCCAUGCGGGCCGAGGUCGGGCCCGCUCGGCUCCCAAGCGCCGCCACUGCCCACCGAGGGGUGCACCAUCUUCCCCUCGGUCUCCGGCACCGGAUCCUUGCCGCCCCGACCCCCUCCGACCGUCGCCGCGCCGCCGGGAAGCUCGAACCCGAGAGGAACUCGGCGGCUUUGAGCUGCGCUGCCGCUCCACCGGCCACCUCCCGCCGCCGGCCAGCAGGUGCCCCGAACCCCACCGACCGGCCACACCCUUCCCUGGCCGGGCCGCCCGCCUCCCGGUCUCCCGGUCGCCGGCGACCAACCCUAGCCCUCCUCGGAUCCGGUAAGGCCGUUUUGUGUUCCAGCACAGUAGUUUAGCUUUCCGGCCACCCUUCCGAUGAUCCAAUGACUCCCCGACAUCCCGGGAAGUGAGCACGAUGAUCUAGGGUUCGUGCUGAACAUCGUGCUUACCUCCGACAGCGGCAAUGAUGCCCUGGUUAGCGAGUUAAUCGCAAUCUUUGCGCUGUGCGCGCAGUCUCGCAGAGUUUCGCAUUGCUCGUGCGCUUCCCUCUGUGGCCGGAAUUGCUCCGAAAGGUGAGCACGGUUUCCGGCACGCCGAGACCUGUCAGCGGGUGUCUCGGCUUCGCUGUUUCACUUCUGGUUUGUGCAGACGGACUAUAAAAGCGCCGAAAUCGCAUGAAAUAAUGCGAUUUCGGGUAUUCGGACGGGCUUUUAUGCAACUUUAUUCGUCGUGGCUGCUGUUGGCAGCAAAUAUGGGCCGAGGAUAACCUCUGGAGUGAUCGUCCAAGGCCCCAAGCCUUUGCGGGAAUCAAAAAAGUGAUUUUCAGUGCGUUUCUCGGUGAAAUCCGCCGACGAAACGCUGGUUCGGUUCGGAAUUGUUCCGACGGUGCUUCGUGAGCUAUUGUGUAGUCGCUGAGCCUUGUUGGUUGGUCACCCGCAUCGUUUCGAGGGUUCGAAAAUGACGGGUGAGCGACAGUGGGUUUCGGUGUCGAAUUAGACACUUCCGGGAAACCGGAUCGAAACGACUAUCCAACGAUAAUUGUUUCGACGUGAGGAGUUGUGUUCGCUGCCAUGAUGCACGAUUAUUUAUGUUUAGUGGCAGCGGGUGACUCGUAGCUCGAGUCGGUAUGUUCCUGGAUAGUUCGUGGUUCCCGGCGGAGUCCUCGUGCGAUUACGGGACUUCCGGCAUAUUACGGCGAUCGGUUUGGGAAACCGAUCUCCGUGGGUUUGUUUGUGGGUUGUGGAUUUAGUGGUUAUUAGUUGUGGGUUAGACACUAACCCGGUGAACCUUCCUUAGGUCCGGUUGACUUUCUUUCGCAGUCAGGAGACAGGCGCGACAUUCGUACAAGUGGGUACUUCGAUCCGAAGUCGGUACAGUGGUGCACGCUCGGUGAGGUUUCUUCUACACUCAUUGUUAUUUGGUUAUUAUCUUAUUAUAUGUUGAGCCUACACCCAUGUUGUUUUGGUUAUACUCUACUCAGAUGUUUCCAUACUUAGUACCAUGUGUAGGAGUAGAGUAGUUUACUUGUAUGUGAUAUCAGUGACCUGGUUGGUCGGUUCUCGUACUUCAUAUCAGUGAUCUGGUUGGUCGGUUCUCGUACUUCGUUCAGUGACCUGAUUGGUCGGUUCCUCGUACAUCGUUCGAUGACCCUUGAGUGUCGGUAUACCCUAAGGGGUGGGAUUUCGGUUAGCACCGACGGAUGAUUAUAGUUUACUCAGUUCCACUGUUUGUAUGUUUUGACCUAGUCCGUCAGCUUCAUGAGUCCGUCGUCGAUGACCUUUGAGGUGCGUGUACCCUGAGGGUAGGAUUGUCGCUGGUGCUGACGGUAGUUCUGGACAUAUCCAAUAACUCCUGUGACCUAUCGGUCGGUUCUUGCGUUCGUACUUUUAGUUGACAUCGAGCAGUAUUACAUACUAUCUUUAUUUACUCUGCCUGGUUGUUCUAUGUGUAGUAUCCUGUAUAGGGGUAGAGUAGAUGGCAUUCGUAUAUACUAUACUUUGACCGUGGUGUCGGUUCUCCUGUUUGCAUCGGUGACUGUUUGUCGUUCGUUACUGUUCCGUAUAUGACCUAUCUUGGUCGGUUCACGUUGUUACUUGAUGACCUACACGGUCGGUUAGCCCGAGGGGCGUGAUUGUCGGCUGAUUGCGGACGUUGCAUAUUGAUCAUAUCUGCAUUGAUCGCACAGCUCGAGUGCAUUUCACGUACACCAGCGGGUUGAUCCCCCGCAGGAGGGUGUCUUUUCCGGAAAAAGUUGGUCGUACAUCCGACCCGUGAGCCCAGCGGUGUUCUCUCUGUCUAGGGUUACAUGCCAGGUUGAGCAGGUAGUGGCUUUUGCCUGAGGUCCUUAGACGACACGGCGGUUUAGAUUGGGUACUUUUGGACUACUUGUCCGGUUGACGCAUAUAGUUAUAGUAGCGGUUGUUGCAUGUAUACUUGAGUUCCUUCUUUACACUUGUCUUGCUACUAUAGUUUUGAUAUCCCUGUAUGUAUGCUUUUCAUUCUAUUUACAGUAGCGAGUUGUUCUCUCAUAUCUAUAUCUCAUUCGUCAUAUCGUUGCUACUGUAUUUCACUUACCCAUAUACUAUUGUUUAUCUUCCUGAUCCGGUGAGUACUCCUCGCCCUCGUCGGCUUGCGGUACCCACUGGGAUGGGAGACAUGUUUACAUGUUCUCACCUCCCCCACCAUUUUUUAGGUAUUGCAGGCGUUGGAGUUUUGGGACGAGAACGUGAGGUACGUUCGUAGCGGUCGAUAGAGCUUCGACCCAGGUUAUCGGUUUAGUUUUAUCCACUAUUCUGUUGUUAUAGCUUAGUCAGUUUAUAUGGUUCAGUUUUUAUUACAUUGGAAUAUGUGGACUUUCAUGAAUGUAAUAUAAAAGGAUUUCUGGAUUUGGUAAAAUAAAAGGUUUUCUACCCCUCGUGGUAGCUUUUAUAAAAGAUAAAAGUUUUCGCGUAUGGAACAGUUUUCAAAAGAUUUUUCGUGGACUUUUGUUUAAACAUCGAAUGUAAAACUACGGUGUGAAUGGUGAAUGUAUGAAUGUAUAGCUAUCUGUAUAUUCAUUUAGUUGUGGUUGUAUACUGUUUGUACUUUUGUACUUGUGUGACGCCGUGUAAAUACAGGGGAGACUCUGUCCGUGUGAACAGUGGAUUCCCUGUAUUUGUGGCGGAUCUGGCAUACUCUGGGGUCAGGUUUUCAAAAAAAAAAAAUUUAAACGCUUUUCCGCUGUGUUUCAAACUAAAAGGGAAUCCCGGGGCGUGACAAAACAUGUCUCCCCUCUCAGUGGGUACCACAAGCUGACGAAGACGAGGCAUACUCACCGGUAAGAGAAAAAAUAACCAAAGUAAUAAACAGAUAUCUUAAGGUCAGUAGCAAUGAGAUAAUAACAGAUAAUAAAUAUGAAAAUACCACUACUGAGCAGAAAAUAACAAAUAGGCAUAAUCAAUAGGUAUACUAGAAUAAUAGCAAUAAUGGCUAGGGAGGCACUACAACUUCCCAACAGUAUAUAAGUAUAUACUACUAUAACUAACCAUAGAACGUACCAAUGCAUCAACAUGGUGAACGAAACCAACAACCAAAACCACUAUCGUAUUGGUCGAAAGACCUAAAGCUAAACCACAACCUGUUUGCCGACCGAGUAUAUAUAAUCCUAACAUGCACAUUGUACGGCUCACGGGUCAGAGGUACGACCACUUUUGAAAAGAACACCCACUUGCAAUGGAUCAAACCGCUGGUGUACGUGAAGAUGCUCACGUGCUGUAGCAAUCGAUGUAAUAUGCUCAAUAGCCUACAACGGCAACGAAAGAGUAAUCCACAAUGUCUGACCGAAUCAGGUUCACUGUUCACGAAGGAAAUGUCACCAUGUCACUAACCUAUAAGAUCUAUAUAACCAACUCAUCAUGUCAUUUACCUAUAAGGUCUAUAUAACCAACUCACCAUAUCACUGACCUAUAAGGCCUAUAUAACCAACUCACCAUGUCACUAACCUAUAAUAUUACUAUGUAACUAAUACAAAUGUCACCAAUCACCACAAUCAAAUCAUGACAAAUAAUCAUAAUCAAUACUACUCUACAACUAGAUCAUGACACCAUAGAUAAGAAUACCGUAGAGUAGACAAAUGAAAAUCAAAUGAUAUCUAAAAGCUAAGUAAGUAAACAUAGAUAUACUAUGCAAUUACAAAAGAGAUCAAGAAAAGGAAGAAGUCACUUAGCAGGCACCGCUGAACCAACUUUGGAUCGAAAUACCUACCUCUACCGAAGAAUAUAACCGAGUCGUCGACACCCGUCAAUGUCUCCUGCCACACUCUGGACAUAUGCAAAGUCCCAAAAAAAAUGUAAUUAGCUCAAACCCGCUAAUUACAAAACCUAUGGUUUCAAGUGAAACCGACAGGCGAGCAAUCAGGUUUCUGGAUCCCAACCCUCGAUCACCAAAAAAUCGGCCGAUUGUCGCACCGACUCAUCGGUUUGUCACUCCAACCCACAGGACAUUCCAAAGCAAGUCCCAUAAAAAGCCUACCUCAUUCGCUGUCCUAAUACAUCAAUUUAAUGCCAAUGGGAUAGCCUCGCAAAUAGUGCGUCAAAACGGAAAGCCGUGAUCCCAGAAUUCACCGGUUUGGCUUCCAAGGUGCCCCUUUUGGCACCGGAGCCACCCGUAGCCAUCGUGCUGCGACAAGAGGUGUCAAACCUCACACUAAGACUAGCCAAUAAGGCUCAACUCUACUGUGAAUAGCAGCAACCAGCGCGAUACAAAACUGCUCCCGAAAUUGCUCGAUCUUUGCAUUUCGGGGUUCUAUUAAGCACAAAAGUGUUUUGAGAUACUCCAAAGGUCAUGCAACCAUCCCAACUGUUCCAAAACACUCACUUUUGGAUGUUAGGAUAGCCGCACACUAAAUGGUGCGAUCCAAAAGUGAAAUUCUCAAAAUCCAUCGUGCCGGGUUUUCGAAAAUCGUCAUUUUCAGCUUCGGAAUCCACCUAGGGCUCAUCGCUUGUCCGAGAUUCACACCAACAACUUCCCAGCCAACCAACAAGGCUUCUAUACUGCUGCAACCAGCAACCAAGACCGCUCCACAAAGACGGAGUUGAAAACACCUACACAACGCACCAAACUCGCCGUUUUAAGUGUCGAUCGCCACGAAAUCCCAAUUGAAGGACUUUUUGGACCUCGAACAUCAAGUCCGACCCAACAUGCACGAUCCCCAUGCUGUUUGAGACAACAAUGAUGCGAAAAGGGGCACUUCGGCAUUUCAUCAAACACUCGGCGCGCGAUAAUAUGAAUAAAAAAGCGAUGUUUAGGGAUAUACCAUUGAUUUCGCGGCUUCGAAAUCCGAGCGAGGGUAUAGACCGGAAGUUCUCGAUGCUCUGGACACUAUGCUUGCUAUCCGAAGUGAAUCCGACGAUCAGAAGAAGGCGAAAAUAUGGAAAAACCCUCCAAAUGCUUGAUCCUGGAAGCGACUGAGUUUGUCGCACUCAUCGGAACCUUACUGAUUGCAGCGAAGGUGAGCAACAGUACUCCACAGAACCCUAGAAGUGUGGUGUUCACGCUUCGGGAGCUCACCGAAGUCUCUAGUGGCCAGAAAACCAAGACUACCAAACAAUCAGCCUAGUGGGAUCUAGCCCACUAGGCUAGGACACCUCGAAUUCGGUGGCCAACGACACGACAGGGAAGGAUCCAGCCAAGGUAGGGUCGCCCCAUCUAGGGAAGGUGAUUGGCGGCCCUGGUCGGCGGCGGGAGGCAGUGGCGGCGCGGCACGGUUGCGGAACUCCCAACCGGAUCAGCAGCUAAGGCAUCACCAUUCGCCGUAGCGGCGGUUCGGGAUGGCCAGGGGCGGCACCGGUGGACUCCUUGGGAUAGCCAUCGACAACUUGAGGUGGCAAAGUGCGGCAGGCCGGGUGAAGCCUUGCAGCCACACAAGAUCUAUGGGGAUCCCCUUGGCCACAGCAGCUUCCGGGGGCAUGGCGACGUCAGGGAAGCCUCGGGGAGGGUCGCUGGGGGGUCUCCUUUUAUGCCCAUCAAAUAUCUUAAUGCAAUCCAGAUCAGAAUUCUAUCAAACUUCAUCCAAGCAACUCAAAAUUCAGUUAGGCAAUUUAGAUUCCAAGUAGGCAAUGUAGAAUUCAGCUAGGCAAUUCAGAAUUCAGCUGGCCAAUUCAGGAUUCCAUGAAGAAUUCAGAAUUCAGCUAAAAAAAAGCAAAUCUGCGUAAGAGUAAGAGUAAGUCAAAAAGUGCCUGACUACUCCCAGCACAAAUGAGAGCCACCGGUUGCCCGCUAAGCAGGUCAGCCAUAGUGCUUUCAUGUCCAAUUAAUUACCGAAACCAUCCGACAUUUAAGGGGGAACAUGAUCAUACCAUCACAACCAUCGAUUUCAAAUUCGGCAAGAUUAUUCUUUAUUAGACGCAAGAUUAUUCUUUAUUAGCUCGCAAGCUUACUUUCAUUGUUUUGCAUAUUGUAUUUGCAUUUCCUGCUUUACUAUAGGGGCUGUUUGGUUUGACGUAAAAUUGGGAAAAAAAAUUUCGGUGAAAAAAAAAUUUUCAGUGAAAAAAAAGUUUUACGUAGUUGGUGUUUGGUUUGUAGGAAACGAAAAUUAGUUUUCAGUUAUACUUGUUUGGUUGAAUGAUUGAAAGAAAAAAGUUUAUUUUAUUAUUAUUAUUAUUAUGUAUUAUAUAUAUUAUUUAUUUAUAAUUUAUGUUAAUUAUUAGGCUAUAUAUAUUAUUAUUAUAAUUUAUAUUUAUGAAUUAAAUAUAUUAAAAUUAUAUAAUAUAAUAAAUUGAUAAGUAUUUAAUAUAAUAUAUGUAAUAGUCUGUAUAUAAUACUAUAUAAAAAUAUAUAAUUUUUAUAAAUAAAAAUAUAAAAUUAGUUUUUCUUUA